AGUGACAGCGAUAACUGUGGUUUUGUAGUGUUUAGAGGGCAGUUUUCUUUUUGGAUCUCGGAGGACCAAAAGAUAAAGAAAGUGUAAGGUCAAAAUCUUCUUCAUCUUCACCUUCCAAAUCUUGCUGGCUAAUGAUGUUGUUGCUGCUGCUGCUGCUGCUUUGCUUUCUCUUCGUGGAGAUCUCUUGCUUAUUGGUUUCUAAAUCUUGUCGGCUUUUCAUGGUGUGAGUAAAAGAGGGAGAGAGGAAAACGAGAGAGAUGGAAUUUGAAAGGACAAUAAAAAUUGGAGAUAUAGUUAUGGAAGCAGAAUAUAUAAGAUAAAAAAGAGACUACUGGUCAUCUUUCUCUGUGUUUGUUAUGCUGUUCUUCCCCUACCGGCCGGUCACCUUUUUUACUGGGUCUUUUUCACUCUGUCUCAGCAAGUCUAUAAUUUAAUAAAAUCAAAGUUUGAAGAAGAUUUGAAAAUUUGUUUCACAUCUUUUAUCUGAAUUACAAAACAUCAAUUUUAACCCAUCAAUUCCACAAUUCCCUUCAAGCAUAUGUGAGCUAUAUCAUUUGCAAUGUGCUUUAUAAAAAAUCACAUUUAAAACCACAUCUAAUUUAAUUCUAUUCUCAAAUUAAUAAUUUUACAUCUAAAUCGUCUCUUUCUACGUCAUUUUUGUUGAAUUUUGAUGGUUCAUUCCAAUCCGCAAAGGAAUUGGAUAAUCAAAACUUUCAAUUUUAAUAUUAUAUUCAUCAUGGUCAAGAAGUUAUUUUUCCUAUUCAUAAUCUCUUAGACUCCUCACCCCUACCGAAUGAUGGGUUAAUUUUACAAUCCAUUUUCAUAUGUAUCAGAUUUUCUUCUACACAAGCUCAUCUUAUUUCGCCACCUCUUAUAGCCAUGGUUAUUUCAAUACACAGCAAGUAAAUAAAUUUCAAGAUAGUUAAAUUCUAAUAUCAAUUGACACAAAUAAAAAUACAAACAAGAAAAUAAUAAGUUAAAAAGAUAAAAUUAAAGUUGAAUAUGGUUAUCAUAUAAAAUCCUAAUUUAUAAUUUUAUUUUUAGAAUAAAAGUAUAAUAUGUUAUUCUAAAAUACAAGGUAAAUAACCUUAUUUAUACUGGUUUUAAAUUGAAAAAAAAUCUCAAUUAAUAAUUAUUAAGUUGUUUUAGGGAUACCUAAACUAAAAAGAAAAAAAAAUAGCAAUCUUAAUAUUGUUUGAUUUUCUAAAAUAAAUAGAAAAAAAUAAUCAUGAAGUAAAAAAGAUUCCUAAACUAAAUAAGAAAUAAUAAUAAUAAUUAAAAAAUAAUAUUUUUUCCCUAAAAUUCCUCCAAGCUCUAUAAACCAUAAAACUGGUCUAGACAUAUCUUAUAGCUAACUGGAUUCUUCAGAACUAUCACACCAAUUUUUAGAGCAUCAAAGUCGAAUUGAAGUAGGGUUAAGUUAUUAAUUUUAUUUAUAAAAAAAAAUUAUCAUGUGAUUUUUUUUCAAAUUCUAAAAAGUGGUAAGCAGAUGUGAUAUUAGUAUGACAACACUUACUUAGCUAUAAUACAUUAGGUUUUAAGUUGGAUUUAAUUCUGUUAAACCACGAAACACCAGCCUGCAUCAGAAACGACUGGUCGUAUUGAAAAGAGGCAAGCUUUUGCAAAUAUGAAAUAUCUCCUCCCUCCUCCCCUCUUGAUCCAUCCCCCUUGUUGAGUAAAAGCCCUUCCUUGUCUAUUUGGAGGACUUCAGGGUCCAAUAUCAAGCUUGGCAGUGGCUGUAGGAUUUACUUUUCUAGCGAUGAAGUAUAGCUCAGGCGAUACUCCCUCGGUGUUGAAUCCAAAAGAACUCCCGGCUGGAACGCCGGGGUUUCUUGGAUGUAGUAUUGGCACCAUUUAAGCCUAUGAAACUGGGUUUCGAUGAAAAUGAGUGACGCCAAGUAAAGUGAGUUUUUCUCACCUGAAAAAGGAGAGGAUGUCAUGCCACUAUCCACCGGCAUCCUUAUGGCCGCCGAGUAAAAUGCGUCUGCCGGGAGUCGAACCCGGGUCUAUUGCUUGGAAGGCAAUUAUCCUAACCGUUGGACUACAAACGCUUUUGUUGACUGAUCACUGUGUUUGAUAAAUUUUGAAUUCUGUUUCUGUCGCUUGUUUUAAAGAAAAGCGUGAAGUCGUCAUUUUAGAAUAAAUAAAUAAUUUUAAAAAAUCCUUAAAGAUAGUCCGUCCGUCGGGUCAACUCUCAAUUUGAUUUGUCAAGAAAUCCGAUUUUACGUCAGAUUAUAAAAUUAAUGUAUUGGUUUGAUUACUAUGAUUUUUAAAUUUGACGGGGGCAAAAAAAAAAAAAAAGCUCAUAUAAGAUGAGGCACCCUCUUCCUCUUCAUCAUCUAGAUUUUCCUAUACUUGUAGGUCCAAAAACAACAUAUUAUUGAUGCGAUUUAAUUCUAUUUUUUUCUGUGUUUUAAAAGUAUUUUUAAAAAAAAUUAAUUUUUUAGUUUUAAAUUAAUAUGUUUUUAGUAUUUUCAAAUUGUUUUUGAUGUGCUGAUAUCAAAAAUAAUUUUUUUAAAAUUAAAAAAUAUUAUUAGCAUGUAUUUUGAUACGAAAAGUUAUUUGAGAAUCAACCAGAACCAAAUUGCCAAACAAGCUAUCAGUAUAUGAAUGGAAAUUUUAUAGUUGGAAAAUAUGUUGCAAUGUCGCGGUCGCACAAAUUAAUUACCCUAGCUUAAAACACACAAGAUAGUAUAGAGAAAGCAAGAGGUCGAUCCCACGAGGAAGUUUGAAGUCAGAUUUUUAUGUUGUACAUUAUGUAAUUGGGGGGGAUUGAUUUGCAAUGAUUUAAACUAUGGCAGAAAUUAAACUAACAAACAAAAUCAAUUGAAAUUGAAAUAUAUCAAGAAAACAAACCUUGGUUGCAAGCACACAUCCACCAAUGAAAAUUAGAACCGAUCCUUGAAACGAAACUCCAGUUUAUAUCAUGAAUUUUAUCUUUUUUUAAUAUUGGUUAAUUAACGGAUCCGCCGUAUAACUAGCCCUAACCAACAAACAAUCACAGUGUCCGCACUAAUGAUUUAAUCCAAUGGCAGCCUUAAGAUCCAGAUAAAUUCAUUAAUCUUAACAACCAAGUUGUCAAUUUGUGUUGCUAUGAUCGAAUGUUCUCCCUAAGUUUAAUAACGUAGUUCCGCUACAAUUAUCAAGCUUAGUUGCUUCACAAGUUUAUAUACCACAACUCCGGUUUUGAUAUCAAACUUAGCAAUAGAUUGUUCACAAUAAUAACUUAGAGUCCGCUCUAGCAAUUAAGAUAAACAAUCAUAGGAAAUAUGCAUAGGAAAACAAUCAUACUCAUUCAUAACAUAAACUGAAAAUAAAAGGAAGAAUAAAUCUCACGGUUCUUGAAAUCCGAAGGUUUGUUGUGUCCUUGCAACCAAGAAAACGAGCUUAGCCUUGCAUAUCUAUUGAACAACUACUCCUAAAGAUGAAAGAAUACAUAAUUUCUGAUUUGUAGAGAGGAGAGUUUGUGUUUCCUCCCUUCUUGCUUCUUUCUACCUCCUUCUACUCACCCUCUAUUUAUACACAAAUUGUAAGUAAGAAAAUCAAAGUUCAAGUGUGAACAUCAAUAGAUGGUGGUAGUGUGAAGGCGGCUGGCGGCUGGCUGACUUGAGGUUGGUGGCUGGCUGCUGGCUGCUGGCUGCCUUGAGGUUGGUGGCUGCCUUCCUUGACCUUCUAGAAUAUUUACUAGAGGAGCUAAAUUGCUGGUCGGUUUGGAUGCUUCUGGAUGAAAUUUGGAUUCGUUUCUUCACGCAACCUGCUUGCUGGCAGAAUUCAGCUGUCAUCUUUGAAAAAUCAUAUCUCCCUCAUAUGACAUCGUUUUUGGCUGAAUUUUGGAGCGUUUAUAGAGCUUUGAGUAAGGAAUCCAAAACAAUUGAGUUUGCAUCAAUUAGACUUCUGAAGCGCCAGAUAUUGAAUUUUGAAUGGGAAAAGGUCAACAUUGGCAGACUGCGUGAUUUGACUUUGAAGGAUGUGAUUUCCAUGAUCUUUCUCUUUUUAUUUUUCUUGCAUUACAUUUCCAGACAGAAACGUAUGGAUGUUAGCUUUUUAAUUCCACUGGAAUCACUUCAUUUCGAUCUCUGAAACUCACGCUGUGCACAAAAUACCGACUGAACGUCAAAUCUGCCAAUUACCUCCAAUUUACUCCUUUUUGCAUCUUUCAUCCAAAAAUGCCUUCAAAACAUAAAACAAAGAAUAUCAAGGCAUUUUAUAUAAAUAACAUAUGCAAAACACUAGUUAAAUGCGGGUGAAACUAUCGAAUAAUAUGGUUACAUCAAAAUAGAUAUUAUGGAGAUGUAAAUUUUCUAUUAAAAUGGAGGUAGCUAGCUAGUUUUAUUACUUCUAUUCGAACCUAACCAACUGUCUGAGAAUAGUUUUCUAAAGCUGCAAGAUGUGUUCAACAUUUCCAGUUUCUACAAUGGAAUGAGUAGGCAUGUGUAAUUUCCUCGGUUAUUGGAAGACGUCAUUUCCAGUUUUUAUCUUUAAACACCAACCAAACACAACCUUAUAGAAUGGAAAGUAACAUGCAUACACAUUUUCAGUUGAAAAUCUACUCAUGCUCACUGUCUGAAAUAGUGUCUUGCAUUGCAAGUUAAUUCUGUUGGAAGUUAAGUUGAUUGCUUGUUGUUAAAGCUUCAGAAGUAAAUCAUGUGGUUAUAACGAGAAGAAUGAAGAAUGGAUGAAAGAAGAAGAUUCUGUUGCAAAGCAGUUACAGUAGUUAAAAAAUAGUUAAAUUAGUUAUAGCUGUUAUAACUUUUUUUUUUUGUUACAAACUGUUUCUUACAUGUGUAAGAAUCGUAGCCCUCAACUAAUGGAUGGUUGAGAUGAAUUGAUUCCAAAAAUCUAGAAUUAUGUUAUUAAUUACAUGUAAUGUGUAUAUAAGUAGAGUUCUGCACUAAUGGAAUAGUAAGAAAAAAGAAAUACAGAAUUCUCUUCUCAUCUUCUCUGCUAAAACUCUUCUACAAACUUUUCUUUUAGUCAUCUGAAAAUCUACAUGGUAUCAGAGCUCACAAACUGAUUCCUAAGAGGGGCGUAAACUGUGAAAAACAGAUUGACUAAAAUUGUUAAUUACUCAAAAUGAUAGGAUCAAGCUCUACUGGAGGAGAUUUAAGAACUCCACAGUUCAAUGGCACAAAUUAUGGUUUUUGGGCUGUAAAGAUGGAGACAAUCCUCAUAGCAUUCGAUCUAUGGGACGUAAUAGAAGUUGGAGUGCAAUCUCAUCAAUCACUUGAGGUUCCAAGUGAAUCAGGCGAUGAAGAGAGUGAAGCUGGGCAAACCACAUUGCAAACAUUUACUACAUCCAGAGAAGAAAAAAUCAAGAAUCCAAAAGCAUUAAGCCUUAUACAAGGAGCAUUAACAGACGAUCUUUUCCCACGUAUAAGAAAUGAGAAGACUACAAAAGGAGCUUGGGACAUCUUGAGCAGAGAAUUCAGAGGAGAUAAAAAGGUUAGAGCUGUAAAACUUCAAGUAGUGAGAGCUGACUUUGAAUACCUGAGAAUGGCAGAAAGUGAAAGCUUAGAUGGCUAUCUAUCUAAAUUCUUUGCAACCAUGAAUAACCUGAAAUCAUUAGGAGAAGAUGUAUCAGAAAACAAAAUUGUGCAGAAACUGCUAAUAAGUCUAAGCAGAAGAUAUAAGUCCAUUGUGUCAAUCAUUGAGGAGACACGAGAUCUUGAUGUUCUGAGAGUAGAAGUCAUUGCUUCUGUUAAAGUUUAUGAUAAAAAGGAGGAUCUACAUGAUGAAAGGGAUAAGCUAACAGGAACAUAAAAAGCAUUUAGCAGUUUAAAGAUUGGAAACAAUUCAUCUUAUAGCUCACACAAGGGUUUCCAAGGCAGACCUCCUCAAGAGAUGGCAAUCACAAGACAGGAGGAGACCAAAUCCAUUUCCAAACAGAAACUUAACCAACUACAACAAUUUAAGCUGGAACAACACUGUUUAAGGAAGUAGUCAAGCGAGUGUAAAACCACACUGCCAAGUCUUCCAGAAGCAACAUUUUGGAUUAUGUAGACACAAAGGAAAACCAAGAUGUGGAAAAUGCAACCGGGUUAGUCAUAUUGCAAAAGAUUGUGAGAGUCACAGUCACAAGCAGCUAGCAAAUUAUGCCAAAGAAGAGAGAGUUACCAUAGGAACCAUGUUUUAUGCUUGCCAUUCUGCAAGUUUGCAAGAUAGUGCUUGCAGCAACCACAUGACCUCUCAAGAAUCCGAACUAAUCAACAUUGAUAGAAUAAUAACCUGUAAAGUAAAGAUGGGCUCAGGAGACCUUGUGCAAGCAACUAGAAAAGGCACAUUGGUUGUGGAAACUCAACAUGGGAAAAGAUACAUAAAAGAGGUACUACUUGUUCCUGGAUUGGAUGAAAACCUAUUGAGUGUAGGGCAGAUGAUGGAGCAUGGUUAUUACAUUUUGUUUGGAGGUAACAAAGCAGUAAUAUUUGAUGAUGAAAGCCUUAACAAUGUUAUAGCCAUAAUGAUCAUGGGAGGAAAUUGAUGUUUCCCACUUUCACUUGAGUCCAUAACACCCACAACAAGGAAAGCUUCAGUGAUUGGGGAUUCCUGGAUAUGGCAUAGAGGACUGGGACACUUGAAUUUUACCAGCAUGAAGAAGAUGUAGCAGAAAGAGAUGGUAUGUGGGCUUCCUGUUCUGACUGAAGUAGAAGAUGUUUGUGUAGGCUGUGCAUCAAGCAAACAUCACAAGGAGAAAUUCGACAAAGAGCAAGUGUGGAGAGCAAGCUAUCCACUGGAAUUAAUCCACACUGAUCUGUGUGGACCAAUAUAGAAUGAAUCUGUGGGAGGGAACAAAUACUUCAUCACAUUCAUUGAUGAUUACUCAAGAAUGUGUUGGGUAUACUUCCUCAAAAACAAAUCUGAUGCAUUCAAUGUGUUUAAGAAAUUCAAAGCAUUCGUUGAGCUGCAAAGUGGAUAUAAACUAAAGAAGCUGAGAAGUGACAGAGGUGGUGAAUAUACUUCAAAUGAGUUUGAAGAAUUCUGUGUAAAACAAGGAAUGGAGAGGCAGCUGAUAAUUGCAUACUCUCCUCAACAGAAUGGAGUUGCAGAGAGGAGAAACAUAACAAUUUGUGAAAUGGCAAGGUCCAUGCUGAUAGAAAAAGAAAUGCCAGUAAUCUUCUGGGAAGAAGCUGUGAAUACAGUUGUGCAUAUUCAAAACAGAUGUUAUACAACAUCAGUUAUCAAAAAGACUCCAUUUGAAGCCUUCACGGGUAGAAAGCCAGGAGUCAAGCAUUUAAAUGUCUUCGGUUGCUUGUGCUACACUCAUAUCCCAUCAUCACUAAGGCAGAAAUGGGAUAGCAAAGCUGGAAAGGGAGUGUUUGUUGGAUAUGGUAGCUGUGAGAAAGGGUAUAGAAUAUAUGACCUGAAAACUGAGAAGAUUGUUCUCUCAAGAAGUGUGAUUUUCAGUGAAGAUAGAGCAUGGAAUUGGGAAAGAAAUCUGAUGAACCAAAGCCACUUGUCCUUCAAUCUUGAAGGAGGUGAAGUUGAAGGUGAAAAUUCUAAGGAACACUCUGCUGCAGUCCAACCCGAUAAUGUUGAACAUUGCAAUCAAAAUUCUACAGUUGGAGAGUUAGCUGAGAAGAUUGACAGUGAUAACAGUCAACAAUCUUCACCUAGCUCUACUCCAGUAAAAUUGAAAACCUUGGAAGACAUAUAUGCAAGGUGUCACAUGUGCAUCAUAGAACCUGAGAACUAUCAAGAAGCUUUUGGAGAUAAAGCCUGGCAGGAGGCUAUGAAGGAAGAAUUGGAAGUGAUAGAGAAGAACAAUACUUGGGAAUUGGUGGAGAGACCAAUUGAUAAACCUGUGAUAGGAGUGAAAUGGGUGUACAAAACUAAGCUUCAUCUUGAUGGAACAGUUCAAAAACACAAGGCUCGCCUUGUAGCAAAAGGAUAUGCACAGAAAUCCAGAAUUGACUACAAUGAAACAUUUGCACCAGUAGCAAGGCUAGACAUAAUCGGACUCUCAUUGCACUUGCAGCACAAAAGGGGUGGAAAUUGUUUCAAUUGAAUGUUAAGUCAGCAUUCCUAAAUGGUGUUCUUAAAGAAGAAGUAUAUGUUGAGUAGCCUGAAGGGUUUGAAGUAAAGAAUGCAGGACACAAAGUUUACAAACUAAGGAAGGCCUUAUAUGGACUAAAACAGGCACCGAGGGCCUGGUACAGUGAAAUUGAUGCAUAUCUUUCUAUGUGCAAAUUCAAAAGGAGCACAAGUGAGGCUACUUUGUAUACAAGGUCUGAUCGAGAAGGUAACUUAAUCAUUGUUUCAAUCUAUGUUGAUGACAUUGUAUAUACUGGCAGCAGUGAAAGGAUGCUUAGUGAAUUCAAAAAAGAAAUGAUGCAGAGAUAUGAGAUGUCUGAUCUUGGACUUCUUCAUCAUUUUCUGGGCAUGGGAAUACUGCAAACUGAUUAAAGAGUAUUCAUCCAUCAAAGCAAGUAUGCAAAGUCCUUGCUUAGGAAGUUUGGGCUUGAGGACUGCAAACCAGUCUCUAUUCCUUUGGUCACUGGUGAGAAACUGAAGAAGGUGGAUGGGAGUGAGUUGGCUGAUGAAGGACUUUAUAGAAAAAUAGUAGGAAGUUUACUAUAUUUGACAGCAACAAGACCUUAUCUGAUGUAUGCUGUAAGCUUAUUGUCAUAGUUCAUGACUGGACCUACCAAAAUUCACAUGGGAGCUGUAAAGAGAGUCCUAAGAUAUGUGCAAGGAACUCUCAGCUAUGGGAUUGAAUACGUAAGGGAUCAAGCAGCAACUCUUAUUGGAUUUUGUGAUGCAGAUUGGGCAGGAAGUGAAGAUGACAGUAGGAGCACCUCUGGUUAUGCAUUCAGUUUUGGAAGUGGAGCAUUCUCUUGGGCUUUUGUGAAACAGAACACAGUGGCAUUAUCAACUACAGAAGCUGAGUAUGUUUCAGCAUCUGAAGCAACAACUCAGGCAAUAUGAUUAAGAUUUGUUCUUGAUGAUUUUGGUGAAAUGCAAGCCGAAGCCACAACUUUGUUCUGUGAUAACAUGUCAGCAAUUUCAAUGGCUAAAAAUCCUGUCUUUCAUCAAAGAAUUAGACAUAUAAACAAGAAGUAUCAUUUCAUAAGAGAGGCUCUGCAAGAGGGAGUAAUAAAUAUAAAAGUUUGCAGAAGUGAAGAACAACUUGCAGAUAUCUUCACAAAAGCAUUGCCUAAAGAUAGAUUUAAGCAAUUAAGAUUGAAUGUUGGAGUUAAACUAGUAAGCAGCUUAAGAGAGGCCGUUGGAAGUUAAGCUGAUUACUUGUUGUUAAAGCUUCAAAAGUAAAUCAUGUGGUUAUAACGAGAAGAAUGAAUGAAAGAAGAAGAUUUUGUUGCAAAGUAGUUAUAGCAGUUAAAAAAUAGUUAAAGUAGUUAUAGCUAUUUUUUCUGUUACAAACCAUUUUUUACAUGUGUAAGAAUCGUAGCCCUUAACUAAUGGAUGGUUGAGAUGAAUUGAUUCCAAAAAUCUAGAAUUAUGUUAUUAAUUACAUGUAAUGUGUAAAUAAGUAGAAUUCUGUACUAAUGGAAUAGGAAGAAAAAAGAAAUACAUAAUUAUCUUCUCAUCUUCUCUGCUAAAACUCUUCUACAAACUUUUUUUUAGUCAUCUGAAAAUCUACAAAUUCAGACUUCGAUAAGAACAUCUAGGAAUCAAAAGCUUUCACACAUUCCACUCAAAAGAGUCCUUAAAACACAGUACUCGCAAUUUCUUCUAGUUCGAAAGAAAAUACCAUUGCUAAGAACUCUUGUCAAUGGAUCUCUUGUCGACUAAUAAUUUGGAAAUCACCACGCAUAAUAAGAAAAUGAAAGGUAGAAGACACAUCUUAAUUGGAUUAUCUUUCUCCUGACGAGUAUACGUAUACUCCACAGUCGAAUAAACACAUUGCCAAACAGCACCAGCCAAUCCAAAAUACUCAACAAUAGUGCCAACAGGCUUUCUAGUUGCGGAAGUAGAAGUUGAUCGGGGCUGAAAACAUGGCAAUAGGUUCAUGUCCGCCAGUUUAAUUCUUUCCUUUCGAGCCAUGUGAAUGAGUUCAACGGCAGCAAGAAGCAAAGCUACAAAUGCCAAGACCAUGCCAAUUAAUGCAUAACCCAUUUGGUCAAAAACCGCAGAUGCAAUCUCUAGGAUUAAGUUUGUCACCAGCAAAGUCCAUCCUGAUAUUUCCUGUACAAGAAAGUGGUUAGUUGUAAACAAGGCAGUUAAGAAAAUCUCACCAAUUAUCAAAAGCGUUGUUUCCAUAGUUCUUACUCUAGGACGUGAGCUUUCUCCAGCAUCCAGCAGCUGUUCUACCUCUACAGUAAUGUUCACAUGCUGCACAAUCCACAAUGACAUAAUGUAAGAUAAUUGAUAAUACACAAAACAAUACAAUUAUGACUGGCAGAAACUCAUAAUGUGAGAUUAUCUCAUCUACUACUAUAUAUCACCUGGUUCACAUCAUUAACAUUCAUCGAGUCGUCUUGGCUAGGGACAGAUGGAGCAAGAUUUUCAACACGAUUAUCUGCAAAGUUGGCCAAAUAUCCAUAUAUAGGUUGUGAUAUCAACCUUCGAAGAAUUAUUUCAAAAAGAAGAGAGACAAAAAAGAAUUCCAUGUGUUUAGAUAUAUAAUUUGCUUUCAUGCAUGAUUUAUUUUAAAUAUUAAAAAAUAAUAUAAAUUAAAGAAUAAUACUUAAUUUUUUUUUAUUAAAUUAAUUCUUUAAUAUAAUAUUAAAGUCUUAAUAGCAACAUACCAAUUGCUUGUAACUCUGGAAGAGGCUGCUGCGUCUUCCGCGAAGCUAAGGAAGGUAACUGCAUUAUCAAAACACAUUAAAUAUUUUUCAUGGAAGUCGUGGUGGGAAUUGGAAAAUUCUUAAAAUCAAGAGUUUCAAAAGAAAUAAAGUAUAGACCUUCUCCAUUAAAUUUUUAUUUGCAAUUGAUUGUUGAAAAGCCUGGUCAUUCCACGAACGUAACUCAGAAAACUGCAUGCAUCAUCAAAACAUCAAAUAUUUUUCAUGGAAGUCGUGGCGAAAAUUAGAAAAUUCUGAAAAUCAAAAGUUUUUCAAAAGAAUAAGAGCAUAGACCUUCUCCCUUAGAAAUUCUAGAACACUAAUCUGAGUUUGAAUCAGGCGUGCAUUUCUUGUAAGAGCCUGUAUCUGAGACAUUAGGGAUUUUAUUUACUUACCUGGUCUAACUGGGUCAACAAAGUGCGAUUUCUAUCGGGUUUUCUUCAAAUCUACAAAAAAAAAAAAAAGUUAGACACGAAUUGAAGGUACUUUUUCCAGCUGGCGCAAAUCAUUAUCGCUAAAUGACAACCAGCAGCCUGUUAGGCACCAACGAAUAAUAGGAAAGUUGAAGAGUUUCUUCAGUAUGCUAGGAUCUAAGAUUGAUGCCAAUACCACAAACCAGAAAUGCAUAUUAGGUAUCAUGUGACUCAAAGUAAUUGUUAAUAUUACAAUUAAAAAAUAAACUAUUAUGUUAUUAAAAACUAUGGUAAAAUUGAAUUUUAAUUUAAAUAUUAUUUUAUUUUAGGGAAUGUGAUUUCAACUGAUUUUCCAAACAGUCUUUUCUUGGAAUACCGCCGUAGGCUUUUUACAUUAUUUUUAAAAUGAUAAUUUUUUGAUUGUUUUUGAUAUUUUAAUCAGAUGAUAUUAAAAAUAAAAACAUAUUAAUUUAAUGUAUUUUUAAUUAAAAAAUAUUUUAAAAAAUAAAUAAUCAUAUUGUGAUUUUUUUAGUUAAAAAGAAGGUAUAGAAAUCAACGGUGAAGCAAAAACAUGAAUCAGAAACCACAUAUUUGAAAAUUAUUAGUAAACUAGAAACUAAUACGAUCACCUCGUCAGAUAAUGAUGUUGAUGGUGGAUGGAGGGAAUGGAGGGAUUGCUCAGGUUCACGUCGAUUACGUAGUCCAAGCGUCAGAACAGCUUCAUCUUUCUCUGGUUCCGUUGCCUCCCAUUUCACUUCUUCCUCUUCUAUUUUCAUGACCACCACUCUUUGUGCUUCCUCCGCGUAUCAGUACGUACUGAUGUCAGUGCCAAAACUAAUCACAACCGCAAGGAUAGGAUUAAGCAAAAUUAAUCACAUACAAAAUAGUAGGAUUUACCCUUCCCUUCUGUUUGCUCUCUGUAAUUGAAAAUCUGUUACCUGGUUUGAUAUCUAGCAGAUUCCUUGGGAAAACAAAUGAAAAGAGGUGUUACUCGUUUCUCCUUUUGAAGUCGAUGAAGAUCUAAAUCAUUAAUUGCUAGUUAGUAACCUAGCCAGAAGUCACAUGGAAACUUCUUAAGGGCUUCAUCUCCGCGUUAAUUCACUGUUUCUUGCAAGAUUGCCUUUGUAUCAUUGUCAUAAAGUGAGAGAGAAAAAAGUAGAAUUUGAUUCAAACAGUGUUAUAAUAAAGACAACGAAUAGAGAACAAAUACUUAAUAAAAGGGAGGGGAAUUUUUUGAAUACCCAACUUCCUCUCCGUUUCCUUCCCUUCGCUACAUGUCGGUUCGCAAUGAUAACAGGGGCAGUAGGAUCCUCCCAUCAUCCUUUCCUUUCAAACCAUGUGAAUGCGUUCAAACUUGGGUUGACCCACAACCCAAGCUUUGGGUGAGGACUAUUUCAAGAACGAAUUUUAUCGUUGAUAAAGUCGCCCUCUCUUCGUACUUGUACUUUUUACAGAAUGAUCAAGUUCGCUGGGUAAUGAUCAAGUUUUUUGUUGUGUAGAGUUUCCCUUCUAUUUGGAAGAUGGUCAUGUGAGGAUGGUCUAUUUAUUUAUGUUAGAUUAAAUCCAAAUCCAUCAAGUUUCGAUUAAACACUUCCAUCAUAGUCGUCGUCGUCAUGGUUCGAUUGAGUUGAAAUCUUGCAGCCACACUAACAACACGAGGCUCUAUAAUCUGAUCACUGUAGAUCGAAUGGUACUUUUGUUGGUGAGCAGUAGCAACUAUUUUGUGGUGGGAUGUUUAUAGAAUCUCUUAUAAUUUUGUUUUGUUGCCAGAAAAUUAUUACAUCUCUAAUCCUAUUUAAACAGAACAGUUGCAGCCCAUUGUUCACAGUGGGAAUUUUGGAGGUUUCGUAAGAACCUUGUCUCUGUUUGUGAUUGAUUUGGGUUUCCCAAAUCAAUCUACCAUUUCUCUCAACACCGUAUGCUUUGGUAUAUAGCCAGCUUUAUUAUUUUAUUCUAGUCAUGGUUAUAAAACUUAAAUUCCUAGCGGGUUGAUUGAGGAUGUGAUUGAUCUCAGAUUUAGAUUAAUUUGAGUAAAAAAAAAUAAAAAAAUAAAAGGUACCCUAGUUUUUCAAAACUCAACCCUCAAUUUAUUUAAUUUUUUAUUUAAAAAAAAAUUAAAAAUAUACUCGAGUUCAUCCUCCUGACUUGUAACUUAAAUCUUAUUCAAAUCAAUUUUGAAAUUGAAUUUUAAAAUUGUAAUAAUGGUGAAAACCGAUUGAAUUUUAUACUGUUGGAUUUCAAAGCUGUUCUAGUGAUGCAACCGAAUGAAUUUUAUACUAUUUUAGGUUUGGAGCAAAUUAUCUUUCACUAAUCUUUUAUAUUAUUAGAGAGAAUUAAGUAACUGAGGUGAAAAUGACACAUAUAUGCAGACUGCAAUUCCUAGUUUAGUAUCAUCGGUGGAAUCAAUGAUUCGUUUUUUUCUUUUGGCUCUCAUUGCUUUGGAACAACCAAUCAAAGCCGUUCGGCAUUGUUUUUUCCGGUCUCCAAGAUGUUCUUUUUUCAGAUCACACUUUGUCUUUCACAUUGACUUUUACCUAUCAAAUUUCCUUUCUAGUUUUGGCAAGUAUGGCUAGAUCCCGAUGGAUUUAGUGAACUUUCUCAGCACCUCGCUGUGCUGGUUCGGUUGAGCCAAAGCUAAGAUGGUCUCAAGUCUCAACUUACAUAGGGUGCAUCACAUCAAUGGACAGUCAAACUGCCAAGAAGCAGCUCCAAACAGGAACUUUCAGCCUUGUAGAUGUACCGAAUCCUGAUGUUGAGAUGCUCCAAAGGAAGCACUACAUGGAACUAGUCCAACUGACAUGCAUCAUGGCCUCCAUAAUUGGAAGAGCACGUCAACAUGACCUAUCAUUUCAUUAGUUCAUUCACGGGGGAGGGUUUUAUUUUCUAUACUGUAAAACUUCCUGCAUAAUCACUUCAGGACAUAAAUAGAAUCGAAGGGUGUAGGGAGGCAUCAAGGUGAUCAAGAUUCUUGUUGCAUAGUCUUAAACAAAGUUUUGGAUAGGUUGGUAUUGGACAAAAUCUAGCAUCUUCGUAACACCCAAUAUUCUCUAAACACCACAUUAGGGACUCAUGUCUUUACUGAAAAAUAAAAAUAAAAACUACAAGUUGUCAUGAUUUUGUAAAGCAAACUGAUGUCCUUGAUAAGAGCAAGCCAUUUGAAUAAUCUCCCAUUUUUUGCUUGCAAAAUCUAGUAAGCUGAAACUAGUUGGCAAUUUGCAUGAUGCUAUCAUCAAUUUCCUUUUGAUAAAGUGAUUGAAAAGGAGAGGAAUUAAGUUAGAGAGACAGCUCGUUAAUUGACUUAACAUUGCUAGAGUAUAAAUGUUUGAGCUGUUCGAUAUUGCAAUAUCAUGAUCAAGUUAUUAGGUAACGUUUUCUGAUGUUUUGAAGGAAGUUCAAGAUCCUUUCAAGCCAUUUUAUCAUUCUUCUAGAGAGCUUUUUCGUACCCGAGAAGAAUCGUUAAACGUUUCCGGAUGUGUUCUACAUUUUCACUUUCGUCUAAGCCUUGCAAUGGGGCAGAUAAUGGCAAGUUCUUGCGCUCAAAAUCCUUGGUUACAAGAGCAAGAGCUGAAGUGCUCGCAGCUCGUAACCAUUUCAAGUCAACAGUUGCAAGAAUUUCAAAAAGCGAGUCCUGAAGUUGGAGAGCAAGAGACAAGUAGAGUUUGUGAAGAAAGGUGUCAUUGACUAUAUUGUCCCUCGAAAAUCUGCAGAAGGACAUGUGAUCGAAAGUGCUUGGCAAAACAUAGAUAUUGCCAGAAAAGCUGAUUCAAGAAUGGUGAUGAACAAUUAAUCAUAUUGUUUUGGAAUUCUGCAUUUUGUUUUGGGAUCACAUCUCAUCCUUCAACGAAACAUGCCUUGCUUUUGUCUCUUUGUUGUUUUGAAAUCAACAGAUGUUUAACAUUUUAUUCUGACAAAAUAUUUUGAUCAAACUCCAACAUACGAUAAAGGUUAAUCAAUCCUGAAGAUUAAAAGUGUUUUGAUUAUAGAAAUGACUCAAUGCUUAUUGAAAUGACAUGAGGUGACCAAAACAAACUUUGAGCCCUUGCAUGAAAUUGAACCACACAUCAUAUAGCUAAGUUUUAGCAGUAUGCAUAAUGACAUGUAGUGGAUUCUGUAGUUAUGGACUCGUGAAUCAUGAUUCUUACAAGUCCCAAUCAUUACACUGGAUGGGGUCAAAAUUUAUCGGUUCUAACCGACCUUGCUUGAAAUGAGAAAAGGCCAUCUUUGAUAUCCCUUCACUUUCUAAAGAUUAUAUCCCUUGUAAUCCCAUUUUGAGCUGGAUAGAAUAUUCUUUUCGUAAAAACCCUGACUUGGAUCACACCCCACACUGGGGGCAAAUGAGAGAUAUUUUGAAGAUAUUGAUAUAAUUAAUGGAUAAAGAGGAAGGCUUAGAACAAAACUCCAAUGAUUGAGAGAGAGCUAAAAGAAAACACGUGGACUAUAGCAUAUAAGGAAAUUUUGAGGAAGGCUAUGAGAAAGCGAAGCGAAGCAAAAAAGAAAAAAAAAAGAGAAUGCCUAUCAAGUCUAGGAAGAGCAAAAGAAAUUUCAAUCUAUACCAGAAAAAAAGACUUAGCUAUAAAUGUGACUUUUGGUAUCCAUUAUAAAGCCUAUGAUGUCAUCAGAUGAUUAAGGUUGGUUAUUCAUCAAGGAAAGGGGGAUUUGCAUUAUGACCUAUGUUAAGAAGAAUUGUGAUAUUUGAGAUUAACAAGGUUAUAUGUCACUUUCUCUACAAUGACGACAAGAGAAAGAGAAUCGAUAAAUAGUUAAUGUUGAUCCUAAGUCGUUGAAACCGUCAAACACCUUUUGAGCCUUUGAAAUUCUUUUCUUUCAUAGCCAUGAACCAUAGCCUGCAUUACGUGCCUUUAAAAGUCCUUUUUAAUCAAGCAAGCAAUUUGAAUUGAUAAAUGGCGCUCUCGAAACUUGAAGAGCUUUUCCAUAAGGGUCGUUACUUCAUGAAUUAAGCUACUAGUUAUUAUGCAUGUUGAUAAAAUAAAUGCUAAGAAAAGAAACAACCUUUCUUGAUAAAGCCUGAGUAUCUUGUUUUUGAAAUCCAUAAAAAUGUCACCUCAUCACAGACCAUCAAAAGAUAUACCCAAAAUCAGAGUUUAAAGCGGACACAAAGAACCAUGGAAAAGACCAUUUUAAUCUUACAAAGAGUCGAUUGCUUUUUUCAAAAUACAAGACAAUCGAAGGAUUACAUUGGAUGAAGUGUGUUGAUCAAAGAAGCUUGAAUUUCAAAAAUACUUUUCAAAAACUGAUAUCUCUCUGAUUUCAUUUCAACAAUUAGACUUGAAUAGACAUGACCUUUGAAGUAUGAGAUUUGAUUCUAGAACAAGAAAGAUUGUCAAACAAAGAAGAACAUUCAUUGAGUUUGCGGAAUCCUUGACCUGAAAUGACAUCAACUCUUCUCAAAACUCAUUGAAAGGUUGAACACCUGGGGGCAAUACAGUGGACCCUAAGAAGGAAAACAGACAGUAUCUAGAUCAGCUGGGGGCAAAGAAAGAAUCAGAUGAUGAGUCAUCAAAGUCCCAGAAAGUUUUAACAUCUGACAAUGAUAAAGAAAAACCUUCUUGAGUAUAAACCGAUGAACAAACCUUCAGAUCAUAUUGGGGGCAAUGUUGUUCAAAGACAAUCCACGAUCUAAUGCACUUCAGCAGCAAUUGAUGAGCAACGCUGCACUAGAAGGAUAUUUUCAUAUCUUCAUCUUGGUUUAUCAUCUUCAACAUGGUUAUGACUUUUGAUCGAUGUUAUCACAUAGUUGCAUGUGCAUGAAUGUUGGAGGAUGCACCCACCAAGACUGACUGUGGGACCAUUUGUUUUGAAGCUCAAAUGCACACUUCACCGCAUGAAUAUGGGUGAUAACAUAAAACAUCAUUGAUGAUGCCAAUACAUUUCUUUUCAAGAUCUGAUUAGAUGGGUGAGAAGAACUUUUUGAGGAAAACAUUGAGCAUACAACGAUGAGGCUUUCACUACAAGUUGUGAGAUCCAUGUUUGGAUGACUUGGUAGUUUCUGAGAAGGUUGAUGAUAACAUAUACUUGAAAAGUAUUGUUUCGAAUGGAGGCAUUUUCAGACUGAUUAACAAUCUUGAUGGGUGUUGGCAUGAUACACACAACCAAUCAGAAGAUAAUUCCCAGAAGAAUCUAAGAGAGAACAUCCUUCAUAAUAAAUCAAGCAACACCACACUUGGGGGCAUUGUCAAGCUUGAUGAACCAACGAGCAGUAAUCGUCGAAGACAUCCUAAGAUAUGCAUUGUAUAUACAGCUGAAUAAUGGCCAGCACAUGAAUGAGCCAAUGCAUCGAAAGAACAAAGAAAGCUUUGGAAUGCAAACAAGGGCACCCUACUGUUGUAACCCAUUUUUGGGUCCCCACAUAAAAAAAAAUAUAUUAUCAAAAAAUAUAACAGUGAAAAAAUGCCAGAGCGCCCUAAAAAUGUUCAAAAAUUGAUUGAGGAUGUUCAAAAAUAUAAAAAUUAAAUUUUGACAGUAUAUCAUUGACUGAUGAGAGCCCCGAUGAUAAAGAAAAUUCAAUUUGAGGAAGAAAAAUGCAAAAUUAGAAGUUUAUGGACUCAAUUAAAUUUUAUUGAAGGUUUAAUUGAAUUUAUAGAGGUUUUAAUUGCAAAAACAAUUGAUUUUGGAGUUAUUUUGGGCUUUAAUUGAAAGAAAUUAAUUUUCUGGGGUCAAAUUAUAAUUUUUGGAAGUUAAUUUGGUCAAAUCAGGGGCUUAAUUGCAUAAAUAUUGAAGUUUAAUGGCCAAUUAGGGACUAAAUUGAAGAAAUCCGAGACCAAGGACGAAAUUGUAAAACGCGCGUAAAUUGAGGGCCUUCUUUGAAAUCUGACGCGUUUUGGCGCCUUUUCUUUUAAAUGAAACGGCGCGUUUUGACCAAAACGGCGCCGUUUCAUUCACUGUUGCAAAAAAAAAUAAAAUUCAGAAGCCCAAAACGGUGCCGUUUUGAUGGCACUGUAGGUCUUCUUCUUCCCCUGGACGCGCGAGGCAGGGGAAGAAGAAGAUUUUUCUUCUCCCUUUUCGCCUAACUUCUUUCCCCGUUUUUGCGCAAUAAGACGCCCACCAUUCGGCGCCCACUUGCCUCCUUUUUCUCCACUGAUCGAUAGUGGAGGGGGCGGCCAACAGUGGCCACCCCACCGUGACGUCCUUCCCCUGUUUUUGCCUAUAAAAACAGGGGAAGCAGACCGAAGAAAGGAGAGGAGAAGAGAGGGAGAGAAGGGGAGGAUUUUAACGACAGAAAGAGAAAGAGAGAGGCGAGAGAAACAAAACGAAAAAACAGAAAAAAGAAGAAGAAAGAGACGCGACAGAGGAGAGAACAAGAAAAAAAAACAAAGAGAAAGAGAGAAGGAGGACCGCCGCUAGAACCACCGUGACAGCAGCACCGCCUCCGCCAGAACCGCCUCGACGCCACCCCGGGUACCCUCCUGCUCCCCGAUCAUUUUCUUCUCCUGCUGCCCCGCCUUGCACUUGCAUGCAGAACGUGAAUAAUUCACGUUCUGCUGCAAAAUGCAGCGUGGGCUGGGCCGUUCAGCCCAGCCCAUGUAAAUGGGCUUGGCCGGCCCAGCCCAUGCAUUUGGGCCGGGUCCGGCCCAUAUAAUUUUUAUUUUUAUUAUUUUUUUGUUUAUUUUUUUGUUUUUUAUUUUCAUUUUUUGUUAUAUAUUUAUUUUCCAGCACAUUUCUUUUAUCAAUGUUUAUUUAAUAUCAGUCUGUUUUUUAUAUCACAAUAACAUAACUCCGGUAUUCAAAUACCCGGUUUUCGUCCAACAGUAUUGUUCACACGACACUAUUUACGGAACUGUUCACACAUGCAUAAAAAAAACAAAAAUAUUUGUUUCAGCAUUUUAUCGUAAACGAACCAACAAUUCAAAAACCACAACACGAUUUUAGAUUUUAUUAGACAUUAAAACAAUGCAGCCUACCUUAGGUAGGGCGUAGUUGGGGUGCUAAUACCUUCCCUUUACGCAACCAGUCUCCGUACCCGAUCUCUAAAGACCAGUUAAGGUUCCUAGUAACCAAAAAACUAGGUGGCGACUCCCAUUUCAAUUUUUCACUUGUAGAGACAAGAAUUUCCUUGUCUCUCUCCCUAUUUUCAAGGAAUAAAUAUUCCGAUUUUUUCCUUGAGGGUGGACGAUCACCGCGCCGCCGCACACGGGCAACACCUACGACGACGGAGCAUCAAAGAGGGGGGGCCUAUAUUUCAAAUCAGGUAAGAAUGCAUGCAUAUCAUAAAAAAAAAACAAAAAAAACAAAAAAAACAAAAAAAAAACAUUUGCACAUAUUUUUGAAUUGUUACAGGAAAGUCCUUAAUGAAGUCCAGCAAGAUGGUGGAAAAAGAAAGAAGCAUUGUGGUGAUGAUAAUAAUGAAUCGGUUUUAAUCAUGGAAUAAAAGGACGAUGGGAUGAACCCUACCAUUAGGAAAAUCCCAAAGAAAUGAAUACAUCAACCUUGCAAUCGGGAAGCCUCGAGUUUUCAACCCUUGCAAUCAGGAAAUACCAAUUUUCAAGCCCUAUGAUCGAGAAUUAUCAGGAAGCACCAAGUUUUUCAGCCCUUCUUCUGUCAUCCCCUCAGGACUUGGCCAGGUAAGUCCUAUUUUUCACUUGUCAUAUCACAUUCUUUCUAUUUGGGUAGGUCGCCCAUCACAACGAGACUGUUUUUUCAUAUUUUUUCCAUCCGGGUAGGUCACCCAUGACAAUGAGACCGCACUUCAUCAUAUUUUUUCCAUCUGGGUAGGUCACCCAUUACAAUGAGACCACACUUCAUAUUUUUUCCAUUUUUGGGUAGGUCACCCAUCAUAAUGAGACCGCACUUCAUAUUCUUUCCACCUAGGUAGGUCACCCAUUACAAUGAGACUGUUUUUUUUCACAUUCUUUUGUUUUGGUUAAAUGAGGUCGCCAAAUGGGAUCUCAUGUAGCUUUGGUUAAAGGGAAUCGCCAAAUGGGAUUUCAGGUUGACCGAGCUACACACAGUUUUAGUUCCAGUUUGAAUGAGGUCGCCAGAUGGGAUCUCAUGUAGCUUUGGUUAAAGGGAAUCGCCAGAUGGGAUUUCAGGUUAACCGAGUUACACAUAUUUUCGUUCCAGUUUAAUGAGGUCGCCAGAUGGGAUCUCAUGUAGCUUUGGUUAAAGGGAAUCGCCAGAUGGGAUUUCAGGUUAACCGAGUUACACACAGUUUAGUUCCAGUUGAAUGAGGUCGCCAGAUGAGAUCUCAGGUAGCUUUGGUUAAAGGGAAUCGCCAGAUGGGAUUUCAGGUUAACCGAGUUACACAUAUUUUCGUUCCAGUUGAAUGAGGUCGCCAGAUGGGAUCUCAGGUAGCUUUGGUUAAAGGGAAUCGCUAGAUGGGAUUUCAGGUUAACCGAGUUACACACAGUUUAGUUCCAGUUUAAUGAGGUCGCUAGAUGGGAUCUCAUGUAGCUUUGGUUAAAGGGAAUCGCCAGAUGGGAUUUCAGGUUAACCGAGUUAAACAUAUUUUCGUUCUAGUUGAAUGAGGUCGCCAGAUGGGAUCUCAUGUAGCUUUGGUUAAAGGGAAUCGCUAGAUGGGAUUUCAGGUUAACCGAGUUACACAUAUUUUCGUUCCAGUUGAAUGAGGUCGCCAGAUGGGAUCUCAUGUAGUUUUGGUUAAAGGGAAUCGCCAGAUGGGAUUUCAGGUUAACCAAGUUACGCAUAUUUCGCUCCAAUUGAUGAGGUCGCCAGAUGGGAUCUCAGGUAAACCCAAUUAAAAGGGCAGGUCGCCCGUGAAAAUAGACCAGUGUGAGUGUGGGUCGGUCGCCCGUGAAAAUAGACUAGGGUGAGUAUGUGUGGGCAGGUCGCCCGUGAAAAUAGAUCAAUGUGAGUGUGUGGGCAGGUCGCCCAAGAUAAUGAAAUCAUUUUCCUUUUGUUUUCUUUACAAAGCUUACUAUGCAAAAUUUUGAGGAGUUUUGCUUCGUAAGCAUUGUAAAGAGGGGGCAUCUGUUGCUACCCAAUUUUUGACCCAUGUUUUGAUAUAUUUUCAAAAAAUCCAAAAAGUUGAGAAAAACAAAGAAAAUCCAAAAAAUAUGUUUUUUUAAUAUAUUUUCGUCAUUUUAGCAUUUUCAACGUCGUCUAAAAAAGAAUUUAAAUUGUUAAAAUAUUUUCAAACGCGUUCGACUUUUCACGCGUCAUUUUUAAAUCAUUGAUUUUCCGCAUUUGAGUCGACGUUGAUAUUGCUCGUUUUCGAAAAAUACAAAAAAAUAAGAAAAAUCAAAAUUUACAAAAAGAAAGAAGUUGAGGGACCAAGUUGAAAAACCUAGCAAAAGUUUUCCUAUAAAUAUCAUGCUAAACUGAUUUUUGAAGGGGGGGCAUUUUAGAAACAUCAGAAAAUACAAAAACAAACCCUAAAUCCAUCUCUAACAAGGGAGCCGCCAGCCUCCACAAUUGAAUUUUUUUCUACACUGCAAAAAACGGCCACACAGUAGCCCCCCCGGUUUGAAUCUCUCCAAUCCCCGGCCGUUCCUUUUUCCGUCAACCCUUCCACCGCCAGUGACAGAAACAACAACAGCAGCCGAGGUCCUCCACCACAGAGCCAUUUUUGUCCUCUCGCCAGCCAAAGUUUUCGCAUCCCCUCACCUGACAUUGUUCCCCGAAGCCAUUUACAGCCUUCUUCUCAACCAAAAAACCAGAGGCUCAAGCCCCCCCGGUUUUCCCCAUUGCAACGAACCGGCAGCAGAUCCAGCCGAAGCCCCCUUGCUCAGCAGCGUCUUCUUCUCCUCUCAAUAGCAGCGCCUCCACCCAAAUCAACCCGCAGCUCCGGCGCUUCCCGGGUCUUCUCCCCUCAGCCGAAGCUUCCCUUUUCCUGUUGAAGACGAUCGCUGCUUCCCCAGCUUGGACCCGUGGGUUUCUUCUCCUCACGUCGCCUCAGCAGCAUCGUCUCCUUCUUCGGCCGAACAGCGCCAUCCACACCGUCCGCCAGCAGCGCCGUCCAUAGAUCCACCAUCAGCCAGCAGCACCGCCCGAUCUGCAACCGGCACCAGACCCUCUCCUCUCGGCGAAGCCCUAGGAAUAGACCAGGGAACGAAGAACAUGAAGCAGAUAAUGAUGGAAAGCAAAGGAAAACAGAUCGGAAAAAUUAAUUAAAACAGAUUGCUUGUGGGUUUUCUUUUGGUUGCAGGUGACGGUGGUCUUCACCGCCGGUGAGGAGAGGAAGAAGGAGAGAAGCCGAGCCUGAUCCACCCUGUCCCCUGUUUUGUAUGCGGCGGCGCGUGAACCCACGCGCUGCUAGUGGCGGUGGCGCGUGGGAAGACGCGUCGUCACUGUUCCCAGCACUGUUCCGAUGGUGCAGAAGGUCUUUAGUGCAAUUUCUGGAGUUUUAGGGACUAUUUUGUAAUUUUUUUAAUUAAUUAAUGUAAUUUUUAUUUAUUUAUUUUGUAUUUGUAUUUGUAUUUUGUAUAGUGGAUGUAAAAGAAAAGAAAAGAAAAAGAAAAGAAACAAAAAUAGUGAAAGUGUAUGUAUGUAAUUGUAUUUUGUUUUAUUUAUUUGUAUAUAUUUUUAAUGAUAAAAUUGCAAAUAUAUUAAAGAAGAAUUUAAUAUUUUGAUCGGAUUACGGUUAAGAAUUAUUAGCUUAUACGUAAGUGAUAUUUCUAAUUUCCGAUGAAAAGACAAUUAUUAAAACUUCUUUAACACGUCAAAGCCACGAAGCAGCUUACCUCAGGUAGGGUGCGUUAGGGGUGCUAAUACCUUCCCUAACCAUAACCAGUCCCUUACCCGCGAAUCUCUGACGAGACCAGUACAUCCGGUUUCCUAGUAGCCCGCAAUCAAUUACUAGGUGGCGACUCCAACGAAUCAAAUUCAAGAAAACGCUACAACGAUAAAAAAUCGUCAGCCGAUGCCGCUCGCUGAUUUUUUUUUGGGGUGCGACAUUUGUUAUGGUGUUCUUCCCCUACCGGCCGGUCACCUUUUUUACUGGGUUUUUUUCACUCUGUCUCAGCAAGUCUUUAAUUUAAUGUUUUUAUGUGAUAAAUAUUUUGAAAAACUAACGGAUUAAAUAUAAGUUUCAUGGCUAAAGCAACCAUGGAUCCGAUAGAGAGAGCAAGAGAAAUCUCGAAGGCAUGUGAGCAAGAGAAAUCUCGUAAAUAUAAAAUUAAAUUUACGAGACAGUCUAAACAUUAUAUUUAUCAAGAAUAUGCUUUGCGUCCCCAACAAUAAAAUCAAUAUUAGAGUUAGAAGACACUUGAAGGUUUAGCCCAUUGAUCAACUGCAAGGUUUGCUUUUGCGAACGUCCUGGGUUCGACCCUCUCUGUGUACCCUGUCACCCCCGCGGUGUCUUACCUGCUUACUGGGCUUGCAGGAUGUUCAGUGGACCCGAGAAUUAGUUGUGGUGCGCGCAAGCUGGCCCGGACACCUCGAGUUAUCAAAUAUAUAUAUAUAUAUAUAUAUAUAUUAGAGUUAGAAGAAUAUUUGAAAAUUUGUUUCACAUCUUUUAUCUGAAUUGCAAGACAUCAAUUUUAACCCCAUCAAUUCAACAAUUCCCUUCAAGCAUAUGUGAGCCAUGUCGCACACCAAAAAAAAAAUCCAAUUGCGGGUUCGACUGGCAAUUUUUUCAUUUGUUCUUGCUUGAUUUGGUUCUUUAGAGUCGCCACCUAGUAUUUUGGUCACUAGGAACCCUAACUGGUCUUUCAGAGAUUCUAAGGCAAGGGACUGGUUGCGUAAAGGGAAGGUAUUAGCACCCCUAGUACGCCCUACCUAAGGUAAGCUGCUUGGUGUUUGGUUUGCUCUAUAAUUGCUAUGGUGUUGGUGUUUUCUAAACCCAUCAAUUUUCCUAGGUUUGAUUCAAAUAAAAUUUAUUUGGAUAGAAAUCCAAGGAGAUUCCAUGUACUUUGAAAGCUCAUUUUUCCCUUAGUAUUUCAAGAGUUUGCGACUCAUAAAUCGCAAGGAAAAAGGGACCAAGAUUUAGAAAUCUAAGGAAAUUCGAAGCGCUUUAAAAGCCUCCUUUUGCCUUAGUAUUUCAUACUUUCACGACUCGUAAACCGUGGAGUAAAAAAUUUGAAGUUUUGAAAUGUCCUCGAUUAUAAUCAAGGCUUCUUUCAAGGAUGUGUGCGGAUUUAUUACUCUCAAUAAUAUUUUGGAUAUUCAUCCUUCAAGGAUUUUUUUAUCCAAACAUUAGCGGUGAAUAAUAGAUGAAUUCCCCCAAAAUAAGAUUUUUAUAGUUUUUGAAAUAUUGUUCAAUACCCUUUGGAGUUUUACAAACAUGUUGUAAAAUCCAGAUAUGCAAGAAAACAAAAUUUUUUUGAUGUUUAAGAAAUCCAUGCAAAAACACAUUUUUAAAACUUCCAAUAUUUUUGUAUAUAUAUAUAUAUAAAACAUUCAAAACAUGUUAGGGUAUUGGCCGUAUGCAUGAAAACAAAAACAUUUUUUUUAAUAAAUAUUUUUUGUUGACGAAAACCGGGUAUUUUAAUACUGAAUUUGUAUCUUUACAAUAUAAAAAUAUAAACCGAUAUUAAUCAAAAUACAGUAAUAAAAUUGAAGAAAAAUCACAAAUUCUUUAAAAUAAUUUUUUAAGAAUUUUUAUUUUUUAUUUAUUUUUUUUUAAUAAAUUUUUUUUAGGUUGGGCCUCGUUUGGCCCAUAUGGCUAGGCUGGACCCAACAGGCCUAACCGGGUCACUGGCCUGAGCCAGUGUCUUGGGUGGAAGCUCAUGUGUGCAUGCUUAGUACCAUAUACAAAUGGUACUGUUGAAGUGAAUUAUAAUUAGCUAUGAACAGUAAAAAUACAAAAGGAAACCACGCAUGGUAACAUGCAAAAGAAAACCACGCAUAGUAAUAUAUGGUACUGUUCAAGUGAAUUAUAAUUCACUUGAACAGUAACACUUGCACUUCAUUGUUCAAGUGAAUUAUAAUUCACUUGCACAGUGAAAAUGCUAAAGGAAAUCACAUGCACAGAGACGCAAAACGCUUACCUGGACGUGGAACCGAAAGGAGUGAAGACGAUGUCGAACACUCACAGUGAUGCUGGUGGCGGUGGAGAGGAAGCCGACGAGGGCUCACAGUGGUGCUGACAGUGGCAGUGGCUGGUUUGGCAGUGGCGUUGCUGCGGCUCCUCUUCCUUUUCCUUACUGUUUUGGCGCUGCUUCUUCUCUUUAUUUCCUUUGCUCCCUCUGUCAACAAGGUUCUUCUCUUUCUUCAACAGCUUCGCGGAGAUGCUGGUGGUGGCAGCUUGGGAAGUGGCCUGGAUGGUGGCCAGCCCUUCUUCCUCAUCUUCUGUGCGUUUUUCUCUUCAGCUCUAUUCUCCUCUGUUUUCGUUUCUUCCUUCCGCUUUUCUCAGGGCUGUUGUUGACUGAGAUUGCAAUGGCAGCUGGUGGCCGGCCUUCCUCUUCUCUGCUGCUUCUGCGUUAUUUCUUCUCUUUGUCUAGUCACCUUGCUUCUCUGCUUCUUCUUCCAAGCGGCGGUUCUAAGAGCAAGGUGGGCGGUGGCAGUAUUAUUUCAAAUGGUGGGGAUAGAGAGAAAGAGAGAGGUUAUAGUUCUUCUCUUCCCCUCUGUUUUCCUCCUCUCUUUUGUUCCCUGUGUUCUCCUUCUCUCGUCUCUUGUUCCAAAAAAGCCCCCCUGUUGCUGGUGUCAAGAGCAAUAUUUAUAGGCUAAAAGGGAGCGGGUUGUUGAUGCGCGUGGGGAGCAGGGGAGCGGCCAGUGUCUUCUGUCGGUGGCCUAAUGGAGUGGGGCCUCGGUUGGUCGGUGGGCUAGAGGGACCGGAAAAAAUUUAAACAAUGCAUUCUUUUUCCUUCUUCCCUCUGCAUGUUCGGGGGGAAGAAGAAAGGGGAACAGUGCCGUUCAAAACGGCACCGUUCGGUCUUUUUUUUUUUUAUGUAUGAAACGGCGUCGUUUUGGAGAAAACGCGUCGUUUCAUUUAAAUAUGGCGCCAGAAACGCGCCAAUGUUCAAAUCAGCCCCCAAUUACUUUUUGUUCAUUUCAAUUGCAUCCCUGCCAAUUUAGGUCCCCGCCCCCAUAGUUGUCCGUGUUUUCACUUUGGUCCUUGGCCUCUGAUUUAUGCAAUUUAGCCCUCAAUUGAUCAAAAAACUUCCAAUUUCUUCAAUUAGGCCCCUGAAUCAAUUCAAUUGCAGCCCCUCCAUUUACGCGCAACUUCCAAAUUGGUCCCUGGUUUCAGAUUUUCUCAAUUAAACCCCUAAUUGGCCAUUAAACUUCAAUAUUUAUGCAAUUAAGCCCUUGAUUUGACCCAAUAAAAUCCUAAAAAAUAUAUUUUGGCCCCAGAACUUAAAUUUCUUCUAAUUAAAGCCCAAAUUGACUUAAAAAUCAAUUUUCCUUGCAAUCAAAUCCUCUAUAAAUCCAAUUAAAAAUCCAAUUAAGUCCAUAAACAUCCAAAUUUGGGCUUUUCUCCUCAAAAUUUAAAUUUUCCUUCUAAACAGGGCCCCUCAUCCUUCAAGAAUAUACUGUCAAAAAACCAAUCUUUGUAUUUUUAUACUCCUUGACCAAUUUUCUGACCAUUUUCUAAACACUUCUGCCUCCUGUUAUUUUUCCAACCUCCUUUGGCUAUUUAUUUUAUUUUCAUUUUUGUGGAGACCCGAAAAUGGGUUACAACAAGCCAUAUCAUUUGUAACGUGCUUUAUAAAACAUCACAUUUGAAAUCACAUCUAAUUUGAUUCCAUUCACUUCACAAACAAAAAAUUUUACAUUUAAAUUCUUUCAUUAUCAUCUCUGUUGAAUUUUGAUGAUUAAUUCCAAUCCGCAAGAAAACUGGAUAAUCAAAACUUUUAAUUUUAUCAUAUUUAUUAUCGUCAAGAAAUUGUUUUCUCUACUCAUAAUCUCUCAGACUUCUCAUCUUUACUGAAUGAUGGGUUAAUUUUACAAUUCAUUUUCACAUGUAUCAUAUUUCCUCUUACACGAGCUCAUCUUGGUUUGCUAUCUUUUAUAACCAUGGUUAUUCUUGUCGCACCCAAAAAAAUCCUGGCGCGCGGCAUCGGCUGGCGAUUUUUCUUGUUUUGUUGCGUUUGCUUUGAAUUGGUUCGUUGGAGUCGCCACCUAGUAAUUCAUUAAGGGCUACUAGGAAACCUGAUGUACUGGUCUUGUCAAAGAUCGCGGGUAAGGGACUGGUUGUGGUUAGAGAAGGUAUUAGCACCCCUAACGCACCCUACCUGAGGUAAGCUGCUUUGUGUUCUGAUGUGAUUUCAAAAUUUAAAAUAUUAAUUAAAUUCUAAGGCUUGAAUAAAUCAGUUAUUAAAUCCCCGAAUAUAUGUAAAAACUUGUUCUUACAUUUUCGUAGAAAAUACAACUUAAUUUUAUUUGUCCUUGAGAUAUUUAACCAUAUUUAAAUUAACAAUUAAUUUUUUGUCUUUUUUUUUAUUUUUAUAAUUCAAUAACAUAAAAUAAAAAUACAAACACACACAACUUUCUUUUUAUCAUUUAUUUUUCUUUUCUUUUCUUUUUUUUCUUUUUUUUUACAUCACAAUACAAAUACAAAUACAAAAUCAAAUACAAAUACAAAUACAAAUACAAAUUCAAAAUCAAAACAAAUAAAUAAAAAUUUCAUUAAUUAAUUUAAAAGUUACAAAAAAAACAGUCCCUAAAAUUCUAAAAAUUUCAAGGAAGGACUUCUGCAACGGGAACAGUGUUCGUCAUGGUUUCUGGGCUCGGUAACAGUGGUGGCGCACUGGCGGCGCGUGAGCCCACGCGUCGCCCCCGAAAAUCAGGCAACGUGAGGGGCUGUAAUGGCUUCCUCCUCUCUUCAAUCUCUUGUUGUCCGUCACCUGCAAAUCCAAAAACACACAGCAAGGGCAAUUGAUUUUAAUUUUUUGUCUUUGUUCUAAAAUCUGCUUCGGUUCCUUUUUUUUUUUUUGGCAGAUCGGCUUCUGUUUUUUCUUCUUCUUGGCAGAUCUGCUUCGGUUUUCUUCUCUUCUCUUUUGGUGGCCGCCGAUGACUGGGAAGCUGCUGGUGGUUGUGGAUCUGUGACCGUGGGGUCUAUUCGGUGACCUUGUGACCGCUGCUGCCCGAUGAGACUAAGUGAAGACCAGGAGGAAAACAGCAGGGGGGGCUGCCUCUGUGUUCGGCUUGAGGAGGAGAGGAGGAGCCGAGGGGCUGGUUUGGCUGGGUGGAGAAGAUUAGAGGAGAAAGUGGGGGAUGCAGAGGAGGUUGCUCUGGCCGGUUGGCUGGAGAUCAGUCAAGAUGAUGGGAAUCGAACCGGCUGGGAGAGGGGAGAGGAAAAUCGGCUGGUCUGUGGGGUUCGGUGAGGAAGAGAAAGCUUGUCCGGCCGAAGGUAGAAAAGGAUCCAAAUCCCCGGGGGCAGCUAUGUGAUUUGUUUGUUUCAAGGUGAGGAAGGAGAUGGGGCUACGGUAUGGAGGCCAGGAUUUUGUGGAGGAAAAGAAAAAAAAAAGCAGCUGGAACCGGCCGGGAGAGAGGUUAAGAAGAAACGAAAAUGGCCGGGAGGGAGAAGGGAAAAAUAAUCCGGGGGGGAAGUUUGUGCUGAUAGGGAAGAAGAGAAAAAAAUCGAAUCCCCCCCCCCAGCGGGGAGGCUGGUUCUUCGGUUUUUUGAGGGAAAGGAGUUGUUGUAUAUUGAUGACCGUGAGAGGGAGCGUCUGUGGUCAGCUGGAAACAAGGAAAAGAUGACCUGGGUGGGGGCUGAGUGCCUGAUUUUCAGCUGAAAAAAAAAUGGUCUUGGGCCAGGGGGAGCGGCUGGUUUUGGGUGAAGAAAAAAGUUCUUAGGUUUCCUCUCCCUCCAAUAUUCAAAAUUCUCUAUACAUGGGAAAAAAUACUGUUUCGGCUUCAAAAUUGGUCCCUUAACUUUCUUUUUUUGUAAAUUUUGAUUUUUUGAUUUUUUUGUAUUUUUUUUUUAAAACGAGCAAUAUCAACGUCGACUCGAUGAGGAAAAUCAAUGAUUUUUAAAAAACGACGCGUGAAAAGUCAAACACAUUUGAAAAUCUUUUGAAAAAUUAAAUUCUUUUUAGACGACGCUGAAAAUGCUAAUAUGACGCGAAUAUAUUAAAAAAACAUAUCAACGUCGACUCGAUGAGGUGAAUUUGAGUUAUUGCAAAUGAAGUCCUCGGAGUCUAUUUCUGAUUAUCACACAAAGAUUAUGGUGAUAGUCAACCAGAUGAGGAGAAAUGGAGAAGCCAUCAUCGAUGCUCGAAUUACGGAGAAACUUUUGAGAUCCCUAGAUCCAAAAUUUGAUCAUGUUGUUGUCGCCAUUGAAGAGUCCAAGGAAGUGGACAAGUUGACGGUUGAUGAGCUUAUGAGUUCCUUGCAAGCUCAUGAGCAGAAGAUUGUAAAGCGAAAUGGAGAUAAGGUAAUUGAGCAUGCCUUACAAGCAAAGUUGUCUCUCAAAGACAGAUAUGAGCAAGGGGAGACUUCAUCAAGUGGCUACACCACUCAAGGAGGAAGUCAACAAUCCAGAGGAGGAUUCCAGAGAUUCCAAGGAAGAGGUUCUUGGAAUACAAGCUUUAGAGGAAGAGGUGGCAGAAAUACCACCAGAGGAGGUCGAGGACAACAAGCAUUCACUCCUAGAGGAAGAGGAGGCGGUUACAAUAACCGUGACAAGAGGAAUAUCCAAUGUUAUAGUUGCAAUGAAUUUGGGCACUAUAGCACUGAAUGCCGAUGGAAAGCUCCGUUGGAGAUACGUGAGCAAGCCAACUAUGCAGAGAAGGAUGAUAGAGAAGCAUCUGCAUUUCUUGUCCAACAAGACUUGGCGAGAAACAGAGAAAUAUGGUAUCUAGAUACUGGAGCCAGCAAUCACAUGUGCGGCUACCGAGAGUUAUUUGGUGAUCUAGAUGAGACCAAGCAAGGUCUAGUUACUUUUGGAGAUACCACAAAGGUUCCAUUCAAAGGUAAAGGCAACAUCCCAGUCAAGUUGAAGAAUGGCGAUUCCAGCUACAUCGCCGAUGUGUAUUAUGUCCCAGCCAUAAAGCAGAACCUGAUCAGCUUAGGUCAACUUUUGGAGAGAGGAUAUACUUUUUACUCGAAGAAUUGUCAUCUGGCAAUUAGAGACAACAAUGGGAGAUUAAUGGCCUACGUGAAAAUGUCCAAGAAUAGGAUGUUUCCUUUGAACAUCCAGUAUGAUGCAACAAGGUGUUUGAGUGCCAUCACCAACAGUGAAGAAUGGCUUUGGCACCUGAGGCUUGGACAUCUGAAUUUCACGAGUCUGAAGAUGCUAGCAAGCAAGAAGAUGGUCAAAGGUUUGCCUCACAUUGAUCAUCCAGAUGAAGUCUGUGAGAGUUGUGUCCUCAGCAAACAUCACAGAUCCAGUUUUGCCAAAGAAGUCAACUGGAGAGCAAAGAGGCCACUGGAGUUAGUACACACAGAUGUGUGUGGCCCAAUUACGCCUAUGUCGACUGGACAAAAUAGGUACUUCCUCACUUUUACUGAUGAUUUUAGUAGAAAGACGUGGAUAUACUUUCUGAAGAGGAAGUCAGAAGUAUUCAAUUGUUUUAAAGAUUUUAAAGCAAUUGUGGAGAAGCAAACUGGUUAUACGAUCAGAACCGAGAUCUGAUCAAGGUGGAGAAUAUACAGCAAAUGACUUUGAAGCCUAUUGUACACAACAAGGCAUCAGACAUCAGACGACGCCAGCUUAUACACCACAGCUGAACGGUGUAGCAGAAAGGAAGAAUCGCACGAUUCUUGACAUGGCAGAAGUUUGCUCAAAGCAAAGAAGCUGCCCAAGCAAUACUGGGCUGAAGCUGUAUCAUGUGCAGUGUAUCUGUUGAAUCGCUGCCCAACCAGAAGUUUGCAAGGAGUCACUCCAGAAGAAGCAUGGAGUGGUCACAAACCAAGUGUUACUCAUCUACGAGUCUUUGGUUGUGUGGCAUAUGCAAAGAUCCCAGAUGCAAGAAGGAGAAAGCUCGAUGAUAAGAGCGAGAAAUGCAUCUUUGUCGGAUAUGGUGAAAGAAGGAUGGGAUACAGGCUGUAUAAUCCCAUCACGAAGAAGGUGAUUACGAGUAGAGAUGUUAUCUUUGAAGAAGAUAAAUCUUGGGCAUGGAAUGGUGAUCAAGAAGCAUCAAAUGGAUCACUGAUUUGAUCCUUGAAGGUGAAGAAGUACCAACAGUACUUGUCGAAGAACCGAUUGUGCCAGCAGCUGAACCACAAAGUCCGGCACACAGUUUCCCUGUAUUCAACAGGAGGAACACACCAGGAGCAUCAUCAUCAACACCACCAGCAUCCUCAUCAGAAGGACCAAGAAGGAUGCGGAAUCUUGAAGAGUUGUACGAUACCACUCAGGUCAUGGAAGAUACAACUCUGUUUUGUUUCUUUGCAGAUAGUGACCCAUUAAACUUCAAUGAAGCUGUCACAGAAGAGAAAUGGAUAGAAGCAAUGGAUGAAGAAAUACAUGCCAUUGAGAAGAAUGAUACCUGGAAGCUGACUUAUCUACCAGAAAACAAGAAAGCAAUAGGUGUCAAAUGGGUCUACAAGACGAAGAAGAACGCCAAAGGAGAAGUGCAAAGAUACAAAGCCAGAUUAGUGGCUAAAGGCUACAAACAGAGAGAAGGCAUUGACUAUGGAGAAGUAUUUGCUCCAGUAGCCCGGCUAGAGACAAUCAGACUGAUGAUCUCACUAGCUGCACAACAUAGAUGGAAGAUCUAUCAACUCGAUGUGAAGUCAGCAUUUCUGAAUGGCUUCCUAGAAGAAGAAUCUAUGUUGAACAACCACUUGGAUACAUUGAUGCUGAAAAUGAAGGCAAAGUAUACAAGUUGAAGAAGGCUCUCUAUGGUUUGAAGCAAGCUCCGCGUGCUUGGAAUACCAGAAUUGACAGGUAUUUUCAAGAUAAUGGAUUUGAAAAAUGUCCAUAUGAACACGCAAUGUAUGUGAAGAAAGGAGCAGAUGGCAGCAUCUUAUUUGUGCCUGUAUGUUGAUGAUUUGAUAUUCACCGGCAACAACCCUACCAUGUUUGACGACUUCAAACGAAGCAUGGUACAGGAGUUUGAAAUGACUGACAUUGGUCUAAUGUCACAUUUUCUUGGCUUAGAAGUAACGCAGAAGGAAGAAGGGAUUUUUGUAUCCCAAAGCGGUUACGCCAAAGAUAUUCUUGAAAGGUUCAAGAUGGAAAGCUGCAAUCCGGUAUCAACUCCAGUUGAGAAUGGAGUGGAAUUGAGGAAGAGUAAGGUUGGAAAUGUUGAUCCAACUUACUUCAAAAGCUUAGUAGGAAGCUUAAGGUACUUGACAUGUACCAGACCGGAUAUACUCUACGGAGUCGGACUCGUCAGCAGAUACAUGGAGACACCAGACCAGUCUCAUUUGAAUGCAGCCAAGAGAAUUCUUCGCUACAUCAAAGGCACAAUGAAUGAAGGUAUGUUUUAUACCUCAAGUAAAGACUUUAAUCUUGUAGGCUACUCGGAUAGUGAUUGGGGUAGAGAUCUGGAUGAAAGGAAAAGCACAACAGGGUUUGUCUUUUUCAUGGGAGACACAUCUUUCACAUGGUCAUCCAAGAAGCAAUCGAUUGUCACAUUAUCAAGCUGUGAAGCUGAGUAUGUUGCUGCCAACUCAGUCGUAUGCCAUUCAAUAUGGUUAAGGAAUAUGCUGAAGUUUUUGGGAUUUCCUCAAGAAAGUCCUACGGAGAUUUAUAUUGACAAUCGAUCAGCAAUCGCAUUAGCAAAGAAUCCAGUGUAUCAUGAGAGGAGCAAACACAUUGAUACACGUCAUCACUUUAUCCGGGAACAUGUGAAGAAUGAAGAAGUCCAACUGAUAUCUUGCAACACAAAUGAUCAAGUUGCUGACAUCUUCACAAAGCCAUUGAAGGAGAAGUAUCCGAUUAAAGUUCAUGCUUGGCAUGACAUCCCUCGAUUGAGUUUAAGGGGAGAUUUGUUGAAUAUUAAACUCAAUCUAGAAUGGUCAAGGAAGGCAACCACACCACCACCGCAGCCACCAGCCACCAGCCGCAGCCGCCAGCCGCCUUCACACCACCGGCCGCCAGCCUCCUUCACACUUGGAAAAGUUGAAUUUUCGUAUUCUGAUUUUGUGUAUAAAUAGAGUGCCCAGCUUAUGUAAUAUUGUGGAGAGAACUGAGAGAAACACUUGUAAGAGAAAGAGAGAGAGAGGGCGUGUAAUAAGCUUUUGCUUUGUGUUAUUGUAAGCUUCGGUUUUGUGUCAUAAAACAGUGUGUUUUAUCCCCUCUGAGUGUUUCAAAGCCACCACCAGUGGUUUCUCCCACCAACAAUAUCAACCUUCGAAGAAUUAUUUUCAAAAGAAGACAGACAAAAAAGAAUUCCAUGUGUUUAGAUAUAUAAUUUGCUUUCAUGCAUGAUUUAUCUUAAAUAUUAAAAAAUAAUAUAAAUUAUAUAUUGAAUCUCACUUAAAAUUUAAAUUUUUUUAUUAAACUAAUUCUUUAAUAUAAUAUUAAAGUCUUCAUAGCAACAUACCAUUUGCUUGAGGCUGCUGCUCGUUCCGCAAAGGUACGUAAGAUAACUGCAUUAUCAAAACACUUGAAAUAUUUUUCAUGGAAGUCGUGGUGGGAAUUGGAAAAUUCUUAAAAUCAAGAGUUUCAAAAGAAAUAAAGUAUAGACUUAUCCAUUAAAUUUUUAUUUGCAAUUAAUUCUUGAAGAGGCUGGGCAAUCCACGAAAGUAACUCAGGCUGCAUGCAUCAUCAAAACAUCAAAUAUUUUUCAUGGAAAUCGUGGUGAAAAUUAGAAAAUUCUGAAAAUCAAAAGUUUUUCAAAAGAAUAAGAGCAUAGACCUUCUCCCUUAGAAAUUCUGGAACAGUCUGGUUAUUUCACUCAGGCGACGACUGCAUUAUCAAAACAUUAAAUAUUUUUCAUGUAAGUAUGAUGGAAAUCGGGAAAUGCUGAAAAUCAAAAGUUUAAGAUAAGUAAAGGUUACAUCAAAAACCAUCUCAAUUUAAAAUUUUAAUAAAGUUAAAAUAUAAUUUAUAUUAUUUUUUAAUAUUUUUUUCCAAGUAAAAAUUUUUUUUUUAAUUUUAUUAAUUAAAAUAAAAAUAUUAUGAUUUGAACUUAUAAUUAUUUGAUUAUUAUAAUUUUAAUAUCAUAUUAAUUAAAAAAUCAUAUCAACUAAAAAUUUUUAAUUAUUAAAUAAAAUUUUAAGAUGUUAACAGGUUAGACACGAAUUGAAGGUACUUUUUCCAGCCGGCGAAAAUCAUUAUCGCUCAGGGUAACUAACUUCAAGUGAAAGAUAUGGGAAAAAAAUGCGGCAAAACUGAUCAUAAUUUGAAAGAUGAGAGAUGCUGAUAUUGUUGUGUUAGGCACCAACGAAUAAUAGGAAAGUUGAAGAGUUUCUUCAGUAUGCUAGGAUCUAAGAUUGAUGCCAAUACCACAAACCAGAAAUGCAUAUUAGGUAUCAUGUGACUCAAAGUAAUUGUUAAUAUUACAAUUAAAAAAAAACUAUAAUGUUAUUUAAAAACUAUGGUAAAUUUGAAUUUUAAUUUAAAUAUUAUUUUAUUUAUAGUGCAUUUUAAUAAAAAUAAAAAAAAAUUGAAAAAAAAAACUGAAGAGCUAUAGAAAGAGGCUAGGCAUCUCAGCUGCAUGCCUGAUCUUCUUCUUUUUCUUUUUAUUUUUUUUUAAAUAAAACAAAUGAUAUGUCAUUCAUUUUAUAUGUACGUGUAAACAAAUCACAUCAUGUUAUUUACUAGUUAAGAUUGUAAGGUAGCUAAAAAAAUAGGAUCCUAGUUUUUAAAAUUUGAAAAUUUAUUUUUUAAUUUUUUCUUUCACUUGAAAACACCAAGUAAACAACAUCUUAAUAAUCUCAUUAAAUCCAUUUUCAAUAUUAAAACACUCAUUAAUAGAUCAAAAAUAUUUAAAAUUACAUCAAAUGAUCUACCAAACCGAUCCAAGUUUCGUAACAAUUUUUUUAUAAUAUAAAUUUAAAUUUUAUUUAAUUAAAUUAGUCUCUAUUUCAAUUUUAAAAUUGUACCAAAGAUCUUAAGAAUCGGUAAAAGAAAAGAAAAUUUUAACAUAUAAAAUAUCAAUAGCAUCACGUAUAAGAAUGAAAUUGAAAGAGAAUUUGACUAAAAGAAUAGUAAUGCACAGUAAUUUUAGUUGGUGUGAAGUAUUAAGCCUUUGGUAAUGCUUUCUCGUAGUAUAUUGAGUUUGUUUACAUUUCUAAAGAAAAAGUAGCUAACAUGCAUACCAUGUGCUUGACAUCAGGACCCCAACAUCCCAAGCAUCAUUAAGCAAAACCCGUAUCUUCAAAAAUUAAUUCCAUAAUAGUCAAGGAAGGAUUAUUUUGUAUCAUGUAACUUGAAGGAAAACGAUCAAACUAUUGUGUUUCGCUAUCCCAUUUAGAAUUUAAGACGCUAAUCCUUGGGUUUGUGUGUGUAUAUGUGUAUUUUGAGUUAAAUUUUGUAUCAAAAUGAUUUGAUAACAUUAAAAAAAAAAUUAAAAAAAAUCAAAUUUUGUAUCAAACUGCAUCAUCAAACAUUAAUAAUUCCAUAUAUUUUGUAUCAUGUAACUCGAAGGAAAAUGGCCCCUGCCCACACACAAACUAUCGUGUUUCUCCAGCCCAUUAAGAACACAUUGAGAAUUUAAAACACUAAUUUUUCGGCCUCCUGAAUAUGUGUGUUUUAAACACAUAAAAUAUAAAUAACAUCACAUAUAAGAAUAUAAAUUGAAAAAGAAUUUGAGUGAACGGAGUGUGAACUCUUGAGGCUUUUGUAAUGCUUUGUCGUGGUAUAUUGAGUUUGUUUACAUUUCUCAAGAAAAAGUAGCUAACAUACAUACCUUGUAAACUAACUUUUUCCUGAAGGGCGUCAACGUCGACGGAGACAAGCACUGCAUCAUCAAAAAUUAAUUCCAUGUGUCAAGGAAGGGUUAUUUUGUAUUAUGCAACUUGAAGGAAAAUGGCCAAACUAUUGUGUUUCGCUAUCCCAUUAAGUACACAUUAAGAAUUUAAGACACUAAUUCUUGGGUUUAUGUGUGUACAUGUGUGUUUUGAGUUCAAUUAUGUUGGUUCGAGAUUAUGGUAUAAUAAUUAAGGUUUAAAAUAUAUAUAUUUUUAAAAAUAUAUUAAAAUAAUAUAUUUUUUAUUUUUAAAAAAUUAAUUUUGAGAUUAGCACAUUAAAAAAUCUGAAAGUAUAAAAAAUUAAUUUUUAACAAAAUAAAUUAAAAUUUAUAGAAAUGUAAUUUUAACCGCUUUUCUAAAUGGUCUUUUUUUGAAAUAGCUUUUUACAUUAUUUUUAUUUAAAAAAAUAUUAAGAAAAAUAUUAAAAUGAUAAUUUUUUUGAAUGUUUUUGAUAUUUUAAUAUUAUGAUAUUAAAAAUAAAAAAAUAUUAAUUUAAUAUAUUUUUAAUUAAAAAAUAUUUUAAAAAAUAAAUAAUAAUAUAGUUAUUUUUAGUUAAAGAGAAGGUAUAGAAAUCAACGGUGAAGCAAAAACAUGGAUCAGAAACCACAUAAUUGAAAAUUGUUAGUAAACUAGAACUAAUACGAUCACCUCGCCAGAUAAUGAUGUUGAUGGUGGAUGGAGGGAAUGGAGGGGUUGCUCAGGUUCACGUCGAUUACGUAGUCCAAGCGUCAGAACAGCUUCAUCUUUCUCUGGUUCCGAUUACUCCUUCCUCUUCUAUUUCCAUGACCACCACUCUUUUUGCUUCCUCCGCGUAUCAGUACGUACUGAUGUCAGUGCCAAAAGUGAUCACAACUACAAGAGUAGGAUUUACCCUUCCCUUCUGUUUACUCUCUGUAAUUGAAAAUCUGUUACCUGGUUUGAUAUCUAGCAGAUUCCUUGGGAAAACAAAUGAAAAGAGCUGUUACUUGUUUCUCCUUUUGAAGUCGAUGAAGAUCUAAAUCAGUAAUUGCUAGCUAGUAACCUAGCCAGAAGUCACAUGGAAACUUCUUAAGGGCUUCAUCUCCGCGUUAAUUCACUGUUUCUUGCGAGAUUGCCGCGUCAUAAAGUGAGAGAGAGAAAAGUAGGAUUUAAUUCAAAAGUGAGUUCAAGAAAUUAUUUUUUAAUAUCUGGUAGUGUUAUGGAAAAUAAACUGGAAAAUAUUUUUCAGUGCUUGGUUGUAUUAUGAAAAAUAAACUAGAAAAUAAUUUAUUAAUGGAUUAAUUUUUUUUUUCAAAUUUAUCUAAUAUAUAUAAAAUAUUUAAUCACUUACAAUAAAAAAAAUAAAAUCUAAAAUAUAUAAUGAUGAAUUUUUUUUUAUUAUAUCUUAUAUUCAUACAUAGCUUAUUUUAUAAAAUAUAAAUAUAUAUAUCAUAUCAUAUUAUAGAGAAAUAAGCUUGUGAAAUAUUUUUUACUAUUCCAUUAAACCAUUUAUAAUUCCAUUACGUACGAAAUAUAUCCGACAAAAACUAUAGUUUUAAUAAUAUUUUUAGCAUGUAAUAAAAUUGGAUAAAAUAUUAAAGUGUAAAAUUCACUUUAAACUAGUUUUUUUUUAAAUGUUAAAAAAAUAGCACCCUUAAAUAAAAAGAAAAAAAAAAAAGGUUCACGCAGGCAAGUGAACAGUGCAAGAGAACUGCACUGUUCACUAUUUUGUGAGUGAACAGUGUACGCAAUACAUUGUUCAUGUUAAUUGCAUUGUUCAUUGAACAGUGCAAUUAACAUGAACAGUUAAAAGAAAGCAUGAAGAAAUGACCACUUCUUUUUUCCUGUGUUUUUAACGCAGGAUUGGACCCAUCUCUGGCCACUGUUUUUAUGAAAAGAAAAAAACAAAAAUUGUUUUUCUUUUUUUAAUAAAGAAAAACACGUUAUAAUUUUUUCAUUGACUGCAUUUUUUUUUACUAUUUUUUCUUGUCUCCGAACAUUGAAAAAGCAGGAAAGUGAAUUCCAGCUUCGCUGCAAUCAAACACGGCCUUAAUAAAAGGGAUGGGAAUAUUUUGAAUACCCAACUUCCUCUCCGUUUCCUUCCCUUCCCUACAUGUCGGUUCGCAAUGAUAACAGGGGCAGUAGGAUCCUCUCAUCAUCCUGUUUUUGGUGAAAAUAAUUAUGAAGGUGGUUCGAUUGAGUUGAAAUCUUGCAGCCACACUAACAACACGAGGCUCUAUAAUCUGAUCACUGUAGAUCGAAUGGUACUUUUGUUGGUGAACAGUAGCAACUAUUUUGUGGUGGGAUGUUUAUAGAAUCUCUUAUAAUCUUGUUUUGUUGCCAGGAAAUUAUUACAUCUCUAAUCCUAUUUAAACAGAACAGUUGCAGCCCAUUGUUUACAGUGGGAAUUUUGGAGGUUUCGUAAGAACCACCUUGUCUCUGUUUGUGAUUGAUUUGGGUUUCCCAAAUCAAGCUACCAUUUCUCUCAACACCGUAUGCUUUGGAGAGGAUAACAAGUAUCUCUUAGUUCUUCCAACCUGAGCUCUCCUUAUAAGGUUAUCGUAAUCAUUCUCCUCCAUUGGUCCAAGAGCAAGGAUGACGAUAUCGGCAAACUAUAAGAUAUAUAUUCAUGCUGGUGUUCAAUAGCCUGAUGAAGGUGGAUUUAUACCGGCCAACGGCUAGCCUUGUCAAGCUGCAAGCCCCCCUUCCUCUGCGAUUUUGUAAUAGAACCUUGCACUAGCAAUUUAAUCUUUCAUAAACGCUCUCCAAUUGUCGGUGACCUUUAUGGAGAAAACAUCCUCAUCGCAUAAACCAAAUCGUUUGAGCUCAUCCUGUGGAAGCUAAACUCUCCCUUUCAAGGCACUGAAAGAAGAAAGGAGUUGAAACAUUUAAUGAGGUAAUUAACCAUAAGCAAAUAAAUUAGUGACAAAAACUUGCUCUUCCCACACAUCUCUAUAAGAGUGUCUGUGAGUUGAUUUGCAAUACAAAAAUGAACUGCUGCAUUGUAAAUACUUUGAACAGAAACAGAAGAAGAUUCAGGUGCAAUCCCCGUAACCGGAACAGUCAAUGGAUCCAGUUGUGCCAGCAACAUAGUAGCAGUAAAGGUGGAUGGCCCAAAUGCUGUCUACAAGGGCACUUCUCUUCUUGAUAGGUGGGAAGAAAGACUGCAGGACAUCUUCAACGGCCGCCCCUAUGACAUGGUUGAUGCUGCACUAGCUUAUUGAUGAAGCUUCCAAGUUCUGUAUAGACAUAAUUAAAGUUGCUCGGGACGUUUUCUUCCUGAAUCAAAUUCCCCUCUAGCCUGAUUUCUUUCUCAAUUGCUUCUGUUAAAGGUAUUUAUAAUGCAGCAGUAUACUACGGUAUUGCAAAUCAACUAAGAAACAUCCUUAGAGAUGUGUGCAAGGAGUAAGUUUUUUGUGACUUAUAGUUCUCUCAUUGGACAAAUGUAAGGAGGCGAAGUAUUGGAGUAAUGCAUAGGAAGGAAAAAGGGCAUCAACACUCAACAAAAGGUUGGUUAAAGUUAUCACCGAAAGAGGAAAUGGUGCCGAUGAAAAAACCUUGGAGCUUACUCUUAAGAGAGGCUGCAAGACAUCUUCAAUGCUGGACACCCUCCCCCUGGAUAUGUUGUUCUUACCUAUACUGCUUCUCCAAGUCCUGCUCAGGCAUUGAGGUGAAUAGAACACAAUCUACCUUGGUAAGUUUUUGUGACAAAACAAGCCCAUUUCUUAAAAAUAGGUCCAAAGUAGCCCAUGAAGUUAGAAUACUUGAAAAUGUGGACUCCUGCCCUCAAAAGGCUCAAAUAUUGAAGGGAAAUCCAUAUUUCAUGGGGAUUGGGCUAGUUUGUGGUUAGGGCUACUGAUGAAUAUAUUUGAAAAUGAGCAUUCAAACCUUGUGAAGUUGAAAGAGCUGUGUUAAAUUGACCAUAUUAUAUGACUCAGAGACUAGAAAAACUAGUGUAUUUGACCUCUUGAUCGCUAUUAAAACAGCCAUCAUCAUUUACCAUUAAUAAGAAUGAUUAAGCACCUACUUGACCCAGUUUUCCUAUUCAAGUGUAGAAGGAGUUAUGUUUUCCUCAAAAAUCAAACUCUAAGAUCAGCAAGCCUUCUUAAGAGUUCAUGUUCAUGAAGUUCCUAGGCUACUUUAUUUCUUUCUUGUGUACCAUUUACUUGCUGGUCUAUAGCCAGCUUUAUUAUUUUAUUCUAGUCAUGGUUAUAAAACUUAAAUUCCUAGCGGGUUGAUUGAGGAUGUGAUUAAUAUAAGAUUUAGAUUAAUCUGAGUUAAAACAAAAUAAAAUAAAAAGUACCCUAGUUUUUCAAAACUCAACCCUUAAUUUAUUUAAUUUUUUUAUUAAAAUAAUGUUAUUUAAUCUAUUUAUUUUAAAAAAUCAACUUGAAUUAAUUCUCCCGACUUAUAACUCAAAUCUUGUUCUCGAUUUCUAAAUUGAAUUUUAAAACUGUGAUAAUGGUAAAAACCGAUUGAAUUUUAUACUGUUGGAUUUUAAAGCUGUUCUAGUGAUGCAACCGAAUGAAUUUUAUACUAUUUUAGGUUUGGAGCAAAUUAUCUUUCACUAAUCUUUUAUAUUAUUAAUUAGAGAAAAUUAAGUAACUGAGGUGAAAAUGACACAUAUAUGCAGACUGCAAUUCCUUGUUUAGUAUCAUUGGUGGAAUCAAUGAUUCGUUUUUUUCUUUUGGCUCAUUGCUCUGGAACAACCAAUCAAAGCCGUUUGGCAUUGUUUUUUCUGGUCUCCAAGAUGUUCCAUUCUCAGGUCACACUUUGUCUUUUACAUUGACUUUUACCUAUCAAAUUUCCUUUCUAGUUUUGGCAAGCAUGGCUAGAUCCCGAAGGAUUUAGUGAACUUUCUCAGCACCUCGCUGUGCUGGUUCGGUUGAGCCAAAGCAAAGAUGGUCUCAAGUCUCAACUUACAUAGGGUGCAUCACAUCAAUGGACAGUCAAACUGCCAAGAAGCAGCUCCAAACAGGAACUUUCAGCCUUGUAGAUGUACCGAAUCCUGAUGUUGAGAUGCUCCAAAGGAAGCACUACAUGGAACUAGUCCAACUGACAUGCAUCAUGGCCUCCAUAAUUGGAAGAGGACGUCAACAUGACCUAUCAUUUCAUUAGUUCAUUCACGGGGGAGGGUUUUAUUUUACUUCUAUACUGUAAAACUUCCAGCAUAAUCACCUCAGGACAUAAAUAGAAUCGAAGGGUGUAGGGAGGCAUCAAGGUGAUCAAGAUUCUUGUUGCAUAGUCUUAAACAAAGUUUUGGAUAGGUUGGUAUUGGACAAAAUCUAGCAUCUUCGUAACACCCAAUAUUCUCUAAACACCACAUUAGGGACUCAUGUCUUUACUGAAAAAAAUAAAAAAAACUACAAGUUGUCAUGAUUUUGUAAAGCAAACUGAUGUCCUUGAUAAGAGCAAGCCAUUUGAAUAAUCCCCCAUUUUUUGCUUGCAAAAUCUAGUAAGCUGAAACUAGUUGGCAAUUUGCAUGAUGCUAUCAUCAAUUUCCUUUUGAUAAAGAGAUUGAAAAGGAGAGGAAUUAAGGUAGAGAGACAGCUCGUUAAUUGACUUAACAUUGCUAGAGAGUAUAAAUGUUUGAGCUGUUCGAUAUUGCAGUGUCAUGAUCAAGUUAUUAGGUAACGUUUUCUGAUGUUUUGAAGGAAGUUCUAGAUCCUUUCAAGCCAUUUCAUCAUUCUUCUAGAGAGCUUUUUCGUACCCGAGAAGAAUCGUUAAACGUUUCCGGAUGCGUUCUAUAUUUUCACUUUCGGCUAAGCCUUGCACUGGCAAGUUCUUGCACUCAAAAUCCUUGGUUACAAGAGCAAGAGCUGAAGUGAUCGCAGCUCCUAAGGGAUCAAUCCAACGUGCUUUUCCUCGGCUAUUAAAACAUGGAAUUCCUCGUACUGAUCUUCAAGUACAUGAAAUUGUUGAGAGGCAGUCUCAGGCUAACAGCUUAAGCAAGCAAGAUAUCUGUAGAAAGCCGGAGUUCCAUCCAGCGUUUCUUAAAGAAGCCUAUGAAAGGUGCAGAAACAUUUGCGCCGAAUAUGCCAAGACUUUCUAUCUAGGUAACAUUCAUAUCCCUUUCAAAUUGUUCAUUACAUGUAUAGUUCUAGAUGUCAUGAUUCAAGGAUUUCUAGAUGAUAUGAGAACUAUCUUGUCGUUUCGAUGCUUGCUUGAUUGCUUACCAGAUCCCAUUAGCACAGGUUUCCAACCUGUUUUAUGAUUUAUCAAAACAUUUAAUUUGCCUCUAUAUGUCAUCACAAAUCGUGUGGCAAAAUAAUGAUGGUCAUUGUCUCUCGAUGCAGGAACUCGGCUGAUGACACAGGAGCGACAGAAAGCCACAUAGGCAAUUUAUGGUAAGAGAAUUAAAGCCCAGAAUAGAUAAAUUAGUCCUUCAAAGACAAUACUACCAAAUUAUUUAUAGUUCCAAGAAAUUACUUGAAAAGAUAUUCAGUUCAGAAGAUCGAAGAAGCAAUUCAAUUGAUCCUAACAGUCACACUAGAGAUGAAUUAAGCAAAGAGGUUUACAUAAGAAGUAAACUGUUAUGAAAGUUGUUCAACUGCAACUGAAAUGUUUUCUGCAGUAUGGUGCAGGAGGACAGAUGAACUGGUCGAUGGACCCAAUGCAUUGCUCGUGAGCACUGCUGUUCUUGAUAGGUGGGAAGAGAGGCUGAAAGACAUCUUUGAUGGACGCCCCUAUGACAUGCUCGAUGCUGCACUUACUGAUACAAUUUCCAAGUUCCCUUUAGACAUUAAGGUGCUUGGAAUAUUUACUAGGUGGAUUAAUUCCUAGCAUAGUGUAUGUUCUCGAUCUGAUAAGAUUUUUUUUUUAUCAUCUCACAGCCUUUUAGAGGCAUGAUUGAAGGUAUGAGAAUGGAUACGACAAUAUCCCGUUAUGAUAAUUUUCAAGAGCUCUAUCUUUAUUGCUAUUACGUUGCGGGCACAGUCGGCCUAAUGAGCGUUCCAGUGAUGGGAAUAGCAGCAGAAUCUGAAGCUUCUGCUCAAAGUAUUUAUAAUGCGGCACUGUACUUGGGUAUUGGAAAUCAUCUUACAAGCAUUCUUAGAGAUGUGGGAGAGGAGUAAGUUCUUUUUUCCGUACAACCUCCAUUCAGUUUUCUCGUUUGAAUCUUUUAACUUAGUUCAGUCCUUUCUCGUUCAGUGCUUUGAGAGGGAGAGUUUAUCUACCGCAAGAUGAGCUUGCACAGUUUGGGCUAUGCGGCCAAGAUGUUUUCGCAAGAAAAGUCACUGAUGGAUGGAGAGAGUUCAUGAAAGAGCAGAUAACAAGGGCAAGAUUCUAUUUCAACCUUGCAGAAGAAGGGGCUUCAAAGCUUGUAAAGGCUAGCCGGUGGCCAGAAUGAACUGAAAACUUUCCAUUACUUGCAGGAUAAAUUUGCAACACUUCCAACUUUAACCUAUAUUGUAUCUUAAGAUUUUUCAUAUGCUGACACAUUGGUCUGUGAUUUGUUGCAGGUGUGGUCAUCCCUACUAGUAUACCAAAAAAUCUUGGAUGCAAUUGAGGAUAAUGAUUAUGAUAACUUCACAAGACGAGCUUAUGUUGGAAGAACAAAGAAACUUCUCACAUUGUCCCUGGCAUACACAAAAGCUCAAUCAAUGUCUAGCUUGAUCCUUCAGUAAAUCAAGAUUUUGUCAGCAGCCCUAAGGUGGGGGAGUUAUGACACCAAACAGUGGAGAAGUGGAGUGAAUAGUGAAACAAGAUUAUGCUUGGUGUAUCAUAGAGGAAAUCGUCAAAGUUUGAAUGUUUGUAAGAUUGGUUCAUUGCUUGUAUCAGGUUCUCAAUUCUCUGGUAAAACUAGAAUUUUCAUGGAAAGUAAAUUGCACAUACAUUUCUCAGUUUUCAAAACUAUGACCUUUGCUCAAAAAUUGCUUGCACUACAAGUGUCAAACUUCUGAGGCAUUGAUUGUUACUUUUAAGGCUUUAAGGUUGGAUGUAUACUCUGCUUCUUAUUCUUCUCCUGUGGAGGGAUGCCUUAUAUAGGCAAAUAUAUAUGUCGGUUACAUCUUUCCUAUUCUGAAAGGAAUACUGCAAUGUAUAUCCUUUCAGGACUCCUAUAGAGUAUAUCUUUUAUAUAUAGAAAACUACCCUUUAAUUCGGCUAAUUACAUGUUAACACUUCCCCUCAAAUUGGUGCGAAGAUAUCUUCUAAGCCUAACUUGUCUAGAGACUUAUGAAGAGCUUCCACAGGGACUGCAUGGGUUAGAAUAUCUGCUAGUUGCUCACUUGAUCUGACGAAAGGGAUGUCCACUAACUUUAGAAGUAACUUUUCCUUGAUGAAGUGUCGAUCUACCUCAAUGUGUUUAGUUCGAUCAUGUUGUACUGGAUUAUUAGCUAUCUCUCGUGCUGCCUGAUUGUCACAGUAUAGUAACAUAGGGUCUUUGGGUUCAAAACCUAUUUCUGUGAGUAAGGUCCUGAGCCAUAACAGUUCGCAUAUUCCAUGUACCAUCCCUCUAUAUUCUGCUUCUGCUGAGGACCUUGCUGUCACAUUUUGUUUUUUACUUCGCCAUGUGACAAGAUUUCCUGCAACAAAUGUAAAAUAGCCAGAGGUGGAUCUCCGGUCAGUGAGAUUUCCUGCCCAAUCUGCAUCAGUAAAUCCUUUCACUUCCAUAGUUCCAUGUCUUUUAAAUGUCAAUCCUUUUCCUGGAGCCCCUUUUAGAUAACUCAGAAUUCUCAUUACAGCUGUCAUAUGAUCUUCACUUGGAGCAUGCAUAAACUGACUUACCACACUAACCGCAUAGGCAAUGUCUGGGCGAGUGUGAGAUAAAUAAAUUAACCGCCCUACCAAUCGCUGGUAUCUUUCUUUGUUUGUUGGUACCUGAUCUGGGUGAAUGGCCAAUCGAUGAUUUUGAACAAUAGGAGACUCUACUGGUUUGCAUUCUAGCAUACCCGUUUCAGAUAAUAGGUCCAGUAUAUACUUUCGUUGUGACAAGUAUAUACCAUCUUUAGUUCUUGCAACUUCAAUUCCCAAAAAAUAUUUCAGUCCUCCUAAAUCUUUCAUUUCGAAUUCGGUAGACAAACAUUCUUGUAGCUUUUUUAUUUCAUCUGUGUCAUCACCAGUUACGAUCAUAUCGUCUACAUAAAUAAUGAGCAGUGUAACUUUACCAUUCUUCUGUUUGAUGAAUAGAGUGUGAUCAGAGUUACCUUGGUGAUAACCAAUUCGUUUCAUAGCUUCUGUGAAUCUCCCAAACCAUGCUCUUGGCGAUUGCUUCAAGCCAUACAAUGCUUUUCGUAAUCUACACACUUUUCCACUAGAUUGUGAGCUGUUAAACCCAGGUGGAAGUUGCAUAUAGACUUCUUCUUCCAGAUCCCCAUGGAGAAAUGCAUUUUUCACAUCAAAUUGCUUCAAAGGCCAACUGAAAUUUGCUGCUAAAGACAACAAGACUCUGAUGGUGUUCAUUUUUGCAACUGGAGCAAAAGUUUCUUGAUAGUCAAUGCCGAAUGAUUGUGUGUACCCCUUUGCUACUAGCCUUGCCUUGAACCGAUCAAUUGUGCCGUCUGCUCUAUGUUUGAGGUUGAAUAUCCACUUGCAGCCCACUGGUUUUUUUCCUGGAGGGAGUGAUACAAUACUCCAUGUGUCAUUUCUUUGUAAUGCACUCAUUUCAGCCUCCAUUGCUUCUGCCCAUUUCGGGUGUUGUAAGGCAUCCUCAACCUUUGUAGGUAUUCUUAUAUUCGCCAUCUCACUUAUGAAGGCUUGAUGCUGUGGAGGUAGUUUGUGUGUAGAGACAUACUGUGUGAUUGCAUAUUUUGCUUUUCCAUUCGGUGAGUACCUGUCAGGGGCCUUUCCACGGUUCUGUCUAGGAGGGAGAGAGUAGCAUGGGGCAGAUAAUAAAGGGAAAGAGGAAGGGCUUUCAGUGUCACUUACCUCAUGGAUAUCCGAUCGAUCUUGAACAUGGAUUUGUGGAGAGGAAGGGGUUAUUUCAUCAUGCAUGUAUUCUUCUUCUGCAUCACUGCUGCUAUGUGUAUUGUACUCUAUGUGUUCUUUCCCUGCAUUGCCCGUUGCAGUUGUUCUGGAGCUGGGCUCUGUAUUUCCUUCCCCAACAUUACUAAUUGUGUGUGUACUGGUUUCCAUUUCUUCCCCUGAAGUUGACUGCUGCUGCUCCGUAUUUCCUUCCCCUGAAUCUGUGUUUCCUUCCCCUGAAUCCAACUGAAGAUCAAUCCAGUUGUAGGCAUCAUAUUGCAGCUCCCCCUGAGGACUAGAGCUGGAUGGAUUCAUAUGGAAAAAAUAUUCUGUUUCAGAGAAGGUAACAUCCAUACUGACAUGCAUCUGGCGAGAAGAAGGAUGGUAGCACCGGUAUCCCUUUUGGUGAGGAUUGAAACCAAGAAAGACACACCGUACUGCGCAUGGUUCCAGUUUUGUGCGCUGAGUUUUCUGCAGGUGAACAUAAGCUACACAUCCAAACACACGGGGUUCUAAGUGUAGGAGGGAUGGAAUCUGAAUGUGUUGAGUGAGAGUCUGCAAGGGAGUGCUGAAGGAGAGGACUUGGGAUGGCAUCCGGUUGAUGAGAUACACAGCAUAGGUUACUGCAUCAACCCAAUAAUGUUGAGGGACAUGGGCACCAAUGAGAAGAGCUCUAGUAGUUUCAAGAAUAUGCCUGUUUUUGCGUUCUGCCACACCAUUUUGUUGUGGAGUGCGCGGGCAAGUAGUCUCAUGGAGAAUACCAUUGUUUUGAAAGAAACUCAAGAGUUCAGAGUUAAGAUAUUCUCCACCAUUGUCUGAUCGAAUAAUCUUCACCGGCAGGGAGAACUGAGUGCACACCAUGCGAUAAAAAAUUGGGAAUAUAUUACGCACAUCACUCUUGUGUCGCAUAGUAUAUAACCAAGUCAUUCUGGUGCAAUCAUCGACAAAUGUAAGAAACCAUCGAAUUCCAGAUUGGGAAGUAAUUGGAGCAGGUCCCCAAACAUCAGAGUGGAUCAAUUCAAAAGGCUUUGUUCUUUUAUUCAAGUUUACAGGAUAUGAAGUUCGAUGGCUCUUGGCCAAGAUGCAAACAUUACACUUAAGAGAGGAACUUGGAUCCGGAAUGUCAUCAAAGAGGGAAGGAAAUAAUUUUUUUAAGUAGCCAAAGGAUGCAUGACCCAGCCGACGAUGCCAUAACCAAAUUUUCUUGUGAUUAUUACCAUUGUGACUCUGAACUUGAUGGACGUGACCUGAAGCUACGUCAUCUACAUAGUAUAACCCCUUCCUCUUAGUACCACGUCCAAUGAUCGCUUGAGUCCGGAUAUCCUGAAGUAAGCAAAACGUGGGAAACAUUAAUACCACACAAUCCAAUUCUUCUGUAAUUUGACUAACAGACAGUAAAUGAUUUGAAAGUGCAGGGACAAGUAAACAAUUAUGUAGUGAAAGAUCAGGAGUGAGAACAAUUGAUCCUGCUCCAAUGACUGGGGUAGACUCCCCAUUGGCUGUCAUGACCUUUUCCUUAGACGGGGGAGUCAUGUAUUGAAAUAAUGAUUUGUUAUACGUCAUAUGAUCUGUGGCACCCGAGUCAAUGAUCCAACCUGUAUCAUGAACCGUGGAUGUCGACAAAACCACUCCAGUUUUACCUGUCGCUGAAGUCUGGUCAGUUUUCGCUAAGGAGAGUAAUUCAUCCGGUUUAGUGUGGUCUUUUUUUCUUAUUGCCAUGGCAGCAAAACUGGAAGGAAUUUCUGUUGCAGUGGUUAAUUUUGCUUGGACUGGACGUUUAUUACUUCUUGCUUUACUUUGCUUCCGUUUUUCUAGAAACCAGUCAGGGUAGCCAUGAAUCUCAAAACAAGUGUCUCUGGUAUGGCGACUUCCAUUACAAUGGCUGCAGCGCAACUUGUCUUUUUCUGCUUCCUCAAUAGCUCGAAGAGUGCGCAUGUUAGAAGGGGUGGUGGAUUUGGAAAUCAUUGCAAUUGAUGAACCUUCACCAGUGUUUUUUGCUCCCAGCAUGGUGACUUGUCGCUGAGCCUCCCGUCGAAUUGUAUUGAAGCACUCUUCAAUACUUGGAACAGAUUUUUUUCGAAGGAGAUCACUGCGUAUUGAAUCAAAAACUUCAUCCAAACCUGCAAGAAAGUCAUAGAUCCGGUCCUUUUGAAUUUCUUCUUGUCUGGUUCUAAGAUCUGCAGCACAUAUCAUCUUAAUUGGUCGUCGCUUAUCAAUUUCCUGCCAUACACUAUUCAGCUCUGCGUAAUACAAGUUAACUGGACGCCCAUUCUGUUUCGUCCUCGUGGCUUUGCAGCGUAGCUCAUAGAAUUGUGACUCGUCAGCCCCAUCAUAAAAGGUUUGAGUGACACUAUCCCAGAUUUCCUUGGCUGAUGACAGGUCUAUAAAUAAACCAAUAAGAUGAGGCUCCAUGGUUUUCAACAACCAUCCUCGUACCACUGCAUCUUCAGUGCACCACUUUGAGUAACCAGAAUUUCCUUCUUCCACUCUAGCAUUCUGCCCAGUUAAGUAGCCAAGUUUGUUCAAUCCAGCAGCAUGCAGUUCAAGCAUACGUGACCAGAUUUUGAAGUUUGUCUCAUUCAAUUUAAAUCCAAAGGGUAAGGUGUUUAGGUUAGGUGUUUCAGCAGAGAAUGAAGUCUGGUUUAUAGGGAUAAUAGAAGUAUUUGUGUCAUCCAUGGUUGGUCUCUUGUUUCAAGACCAAUUCCCAGGAGAAGAUUAAUGUGGCGGCUGAAAAGUUAAAGGAAGAUUUUAGCUUUCAACCUUGCUCUGAUACCAUGUUACUUUUAAGGCUUUAGGGUUGGAUGUAUACUCUGCUUCUUAUUCUUCUCCUGUGAAGGGAUGCCUUAUAUAGGCAAAUAUAUAUGUCGGUUACAUCUUUCCUAUACUAAAAGGAAUACUGCAAUGUAUAUCCUUUCAGGACUCUAUAGAGUAUGUCUUUUAUAUAUAGAAAACUACCCUCUAAUUCGACUAAUUACAUGUUAACAUUGAUCAGACGAUAUGCUGUUCUCUAUAUGCUCACAGCAGAGAAGACAUGCUGUUAUGGCAUCCAUAUCCUGUUUUGGGUUCGAGCUCUCUCCUGGCACUAAGCCUAAGCACACAGAUGAAAGGAAAAAUAUAUUAAAUAAUUAUAAUUAUAUGAUCUGAAAGCAUUUCAAUUCAUUAACAUUAAUACCCAAAUAAAAUUGGGUUCUAAAGAAGAAAGAAAGAGAAGAUUUAUUACAUGCUAUAGCUUUGUAUCUUAAGGUUUUUGGCCUUCAUUAGAGUCGACUUCCCUUGCUGGGGUUAUUUAAAAAUAGACAACGCUUUAAGGUUGACGAUUUUGCAAGAGAUUCAAAGAUCAGUGGGCAUUGAAAAUGACCAUACCCAUUGCGAAAGAUUCCUAGUUAAAUGUAGAAUCAAUAGAUGCCAUUUGACCUGAGGUGCUGCCUCAACACUUUCAAACCGCCUGCCUUUCGUUAUCAAACAAGUACUGGCAAUCAUCCAUAAGCACCAUAAAUAGCAUAAACCGUCCACUCACACAAACCACUAGUCUCUUAUCCAUCAAUUACAAUCCAAAAUAUCAAGGAACCGCCAUUUUAUCUCUCCACGACCUUUCAUGUCGCACGUCGAAACACCCAGCGCGCGGCAUCGGCUGGCAAUUUUUGUUUUGUUGUAUGUAGUUGCUUGAAUUAAUUCGUUAGAGUCGCCAACUAGUAUUUAAAGGAGAGUCACUAGGAAACCCUGGUGGACUGGUCUUGUCAAAAAUUCACGGGUAAAAAACUGAUUGUGAUUAGGAAAGGUGUUAGCACCCCUAACACACCCUACCUGAGGUAAACUGCAUCGUGGCUUUGAUGUGUUAAAAAAGUUUUAAAAAUUUUAUAUUUUCAUCGAAUUUUAGAAAUACAACUUCCGUACAAGUUUAUACUUCUACACCGUGAUCCAAUCAAAAUAUUAAAUCCUUCUUUAUUCUUUGUUGUCUCACCAUAAAAAAAAAUUCAUAAAACAAAUGUACACAUGCAUUUUUUAUUAUAUAUUCUUUCUUUUUCUUUUUCUUCUUUUUUUUCUUUUGAUUCAAUAACAUACAUACAAAAAUACAAACACACACACAUCUCCCCUUUUUUAUUAUUAUUUACUUUUUUUCUUCUUUUUUUUCUACAUGCAAAACAAAUAACAAAAAUUAAAAAAUCAAGUACAAUUAAAAAUUACAAAAUAAACCCCAAAACUCCAGGAAGUUGCUGGGACCAUCCUCUGGGACUUCGCCGGAACAGUGGGGAACAGUGGCGGCGGGUGGACCUCACGCGCCGCCGUGAUAACACCGGAAAAGGUGGUCCGGCUCACCUUCUCCUCCUCUUCUCUUCUCUGCCGGUGGCGACCUGCAAAAUCAACCAAAAAACGCAACACAAGCAGUUGUUUUUCUGUGUUUUUUAGAUCUGUUUUUUAAUUUUUCGUUUUCUGUCCGUGGUUUAUUUUCGUUUCCCCCUUCGUUCUCUGUUUCAAGCGGCUGCUGGCGACUGGAAAGCUGUUGGCGAUCGUGCUCCUGUCGUGUCUGGUCGGCGGAGCUGGAGGAGGAAAAGGUGUUGGCUGAUCGUCGGCUGGUUUCUGUGGGCGCCGCCGUAUGAGGGCAGGUUGCUGUGGAUGAAGCCAGAGGAGGAGACGAUCUGGUUACCGGGGGUCUGGCGACUGUGUCCCCGUUCGGUUGUUGUGAGAAGACCGAAGAAGAAGAUGUCGGGCCUGCUGGGCAGGCUGUGAGAGAUCGGGAAAGAUGGAGACCGAAGGGGGAACAGCCGUUGCUGAUGGCGAAGGAGACGCUGCUUGGCUGAGAGCGAGAGGGUCUUGAUGGCUCUGAAAUGGCCGGCUAUGCAGGCAACAGCCAACCUUUGUUUCUAGGAGAACCGAGAGAGGGAGGCUGUGGAUUGGAGACGGCGCUGCUGGCUUACUGGCGGUGAAAACCGGCUAAAAGGAGAGUGAGGCAGAUGAAUGAGAGGGUGUCCGGUGCUCUCUGGUUCCUGGCCUCAAGAGAGAAGGAAGGGGAUGAGCAGCAGCUAGUUUCUGUGGGUGAGGAAAAGAAACCAACGGGGUUCCUAGUGGCGAGCUGGAGAGAAAAUGGUGAAUGGAGGGGGGCCGCCUCUGUUUGUUUCUCUUUUGUGGCCAAAGGUGGCCGGCUCAGGAGAGAUGGAGGGCAGGAGGAAGGCUGCCAGAGGAAGAAGAAAAUUCCAAAGGGAAAGGGGGAUCCGCCGUAGCUUUUUUAGAGGAGAAGUGAGAGGCGGCUCUGUGUGCAGCCGGCUGUGCAAGGGCUGAGGAAGAAGAAAAUUAAAACUGGGAGCAGCUCAGGGAACCCGAAAAUGAAAACCAGCAGGGGGGCGGCGGCUGGUGUCCGUGAAGGAGAGGAAAUCAGUUCAGAUUUUUAGGGUUUUUCCCUUUUGUGUUCCCUCCUUCAAAUUACAAAAUACCCCCCCUAAUUUUGAGUUAAAAGCUGCUAUUUAUAGGCAAAAUAAUUUUUCGGGCUUUCAAAUUGGUCCCUCAAUUUUUGUGUUCAAUUCAUUUGGUAAAAAUUAAAUUUGGUCUUAAAAUUUCAAUCUUUUUAAUUCAGUCCAAAUUAAGCUCCCAAACUUAAUUUUUCACCAAUUAAGCCCCCAAAUUAAUUUGACCCAUUUAAAGUAUAAUUAAGUCCUUGCACUUAAUUAAAUCCUUCAAUUGGACCUAAAUUAAUUCUUAAACAUAAUUAAAAUUUAAUUUGGCCCAUGAUUAAAUCAAAUUGGCACAUUAAAAAUUUAAUUAUGUCAUUGGACUUAAUUUUUAUGCAAAUUCAUCCAAUAAUCAUUUAAUUUGACCUUCAAAUAUGCAUUUAAUUUGACCUUCAAUUUUUGCCUAUUUUUGCAGUCUUUUUUUAUCGGCUUUCUCCACAGUGCCAGACUUUAUUUUACUUUUUAAUUUUUUAUUUUGAAAAAAGUAAAUUUUGGGAAUAACCCAAAAUUAGGUUAUGACAGGUAGGAGCCAGCUGACACAGACAGUAAACUGAUUGUUUUGCUUCAAUAUUUCUAGAGGGGGACAACACUCCACGGAACUUAGCACUGGUGACAUAAUCAAUAUUUUGACAAUCCAUGAUCAAGGCAACUACCAUAGAGAAGAUGAUUGGGAGAAACCGCUUAGCAAGUCUAUGUUUCCCGGGAAAAUCACAACCAAAGCUUGUAAUGAACUGUCAUGGGAAACUGAAAGGGGGGGUUUAAAUUCAAUUCAGGUUCAGCUUUCGUAUGCAAUGUGCAAUCAAAAAUUAUCUAGAAAUGUUAAGGAACCUACUGGAACACUUGGUUAGAAAAAAAUAUAAAAGCACCCAUUUUAAGUCAACUCAUUGUCUCUCUACACAUACCCAACCCUGAAACAACCAUCCUUCUACAAAAAGGAAUAAGAUAACAAAAAAAGAAUCAAGGCAAAGGAAUAAAAGAUGCCGCAUUGUUUGCUGGAAAUGGUACAUUUGCGGCUAUUUGGUCACCACUCCACUGCUUCCUCUUAUGGAAACUCUAGCAUAAUCAGCAAACCAAUUGAAUCAAGGAAGCUCCACCUGCCCGUUAUUCAUGCUUUCUGCCACCCACCAUCAUCGUGAAUUUAUGCUCUUAGAUUUGAAAAAUGCCCUCAAUAAGUGAACCAGCCAGGAAGCACUGGCUGGAAGGAUUCGGCAUGUCAAGACCAGCUUCAAUCAUAGGAAAUAAUCUGGUGUUCUCCGGGUCACAUCUGGCUCGCCCCUCCUUGGAGCAGGCUCAAACUGCAAACAAAUUUUGAAGAUAUUAUUUUGAGCCUAACUUAUGUGACAUUACCCAUGGAGUGCUCUAGCAUCAGACACCAACCUGAAUGAAUGUGUGACCCUUGCAGUCAUCAACUUCCAAAAUAGAAGCCAUGUUGCCACAGCGGUAGCAAUAGUUGGGUGCACUAAAGAUAGUAACCACCUUUUGUUCCUGUCACGAGAAAAAAAGCACAAUCAAUCAGAUGAAAUUUGCAAACCAGAGCAAGAAAUUCACCAAAAGAAUUUCUGAAGGUAUAUAUGUUGAUUGUGGAGGUAUAUAUGUUGCCUCAUGUAUUGCGCAUGCAAAUAAAAGAGUUGAUAUUUGCUGUGAUAAGAUUAGGUGCUAACAUUCCAAAAGUAUGUGAUUGAUGGAUUUGAGCGGUGAAUGAUGUGUUAGAAUUGUGUGAAUUUUUUUUACUCUUUUAAUUGACACUAGUAGAAAGAGGGGGCAUGAACAGUGGUAAUUUGACUGUGAUUAAUUGUAAAUUCUUUUGCGAAAGAUAUUUUAAAAUUAAUAUGAAUGAGAUACUGGAGAAAACCAUUAUAGAUGCUGGGCUACUGAUAAUGAAGUUACAGGUGGUGGCAGCGACAAUGAUAACUGUGGUUUUGUAGUGUUUUUAGGGCAAUUUUCUUUUUGGAUCUCAGAGGACCAAAAGAUAAAGAAAGUGUAAGGUCAAAAUCUUCUUCAUCUUCCCCUUCCAAAUCUUGCUGGCUAAUGCUGUUGUUGCUGCUGUUGCUGCUAUCCUUUCUCUUCGUGGAGAUCUCUUGCUCAUUGUUUUCUAAAUCUUCUCGGCUAUUCAUAGUGUGAGUAAAAGAGGGAGAGAGGAUUAGGGUUUUAGUGAAAAGGCAAUGUUAGUAUUUUGGCUAUGAAAACAGAGAGAAAAACGAGAGAGAUGGAUUUGUAAAGGACAUUAAAAAUUGGAGAUAUAGUUAUGGAAGCAGAAUAUAUAAGAUAAAAAAGAGACUACUGGUUAUCUUUCUCUGUGUUUGUUAUGCUGUUCUUCCCCUCCCGGCCGGUCACCUUUUUUACUGGGUCUUUUUCACUCUGUCUCAGCAAGUCUUUAAUUUAAUGUUUUUAUGUGAUAAAUAUUUUGAAAAACUAACGGAUUAAAUAUAAGUUUCAUGGCUAAAGCAACCAUGGAUCCGAUAGAGAGAGCAAGAGAAAUCUCGAAGGCAUGUGAGCAAGAGAAAUCUCGUAAAUAUGAAAUUAAAUUUACGAGACAAUCUAAACAUUAUAUUUAUUAAGAAUAUGCUUAGCCUCCCCAACAAUAAAAUCAAUAUUAGAGUUAGAAGAUACUUGAUGGUUUAGCCCAUUAAUCAACUGCAAGGCUUGCUUUUGCAAACGUUCUGGGUUCGACCCUCUCUGUGUAUCCUGUCACCCCCACGGUGUCUUACUUGCUUACUAGGCUUGCAGGAUGUUUAGUGGGCCCGGGGAUUAGUUGUGAAGUGCGCAAGCUGG
RNAcentral lists this long non-coding RNA (53889 nucleotides) under Populus tremula. Its description in RNAcentral is "long non-coding RNA (PTRE_LNC000003)". The record is from RNAcentral. Lineage: Eukaryota; Viridiplantae; Streptophyta; Magnoliopsida; Malpighiales; Salicaceae.